RNAcentral lists this long non-coding RNA (46808 nucleotides) under Medicago truncatula (barrel medic). RNAcentral's name for it is "long non-coding RNA (MTRU_LNC003206)". Lineage: Eukaryota; Viridiplantae; Streptophyta; Magnoliopsida; Fabales; Fabaceae. The record is from RNAcentral.
UUAGGUUUACGGAGCGGCUACAAAGAGAGACACACAUUCUUUGUUUGUUUAUUGUGCUCACACCCACAUAACAGAGCAUAUUUUCUUCAAAAAUGGAAGAUGUGAUAACAGAAGCAGCACCACCAUCAAGAUUACUAGAAGAAGACCUAAACAAUUUCACACCAUCUUCUCCACCACUCCCUUCACCUUUUCUCCUCUUCCCUCACACACAACAACAACAACAACCUCUCAAACCCACACUCCUCAUCAUCGCUAUCUCUUCUCCCUCUCUCUCCCUUUUCCACAAUCUCCUCACCCCACAAACCCUAACCUCCUCUCUCAUCCUCCCUGAACUCCCUCUCUCCUAUCCUAACAACACCAUCAACAUCCACUCUCUCUCUUCCACCAUCCUCCUCGCCGCCGUUCAAAACCCUAUCCCUGAUAAUCGCGCUUACGCCGUCGCUGAAAUCCUCCUCAGCAACCAGAUCUGCCCUGAUUCGGUUAUUAUACUUGAUUCUAUCCAGCCGAUGAAUCACCGUGGUCUGCUUUCUUCCGACGAGGCGGUUGCAUUCAAGCUGGAGAGUUUUGCCGAAAGGAAGAAGGCGAAUGAGGAGAAAUUGUUGGGAGGAUUGGAUUAUUACCCGUCUGGAAGCGUUGUUGAUGGACUCGGUGCCGCCAUUCUUGGACGGUGUCAGAUUUUGAAAAUUAGGGCUAGCUUGUGUGUUACUUGGCCUCAAUUUGAUUCAGAUGUUGUUUUGUUGUUGAAGGAUUUGCUUCGAGGUUUGGGUGAGUUUGAGUUUGGGUUUAGUGAUGAUGAGGUUUUCAAAUUUGGGAGGAGUAAGGAUCAUGUUUUUCAAUCUCACUUGUAUAUUUGAUUAGAUUUAUUACAAUGUGUGUUUAACAUUUAGUUCUCAAUGAUUUGAAUGUUUUGGAAUUAUGAUGGUUAUGAAUAGUUAUCUAGUCUUUGCUUUAUUGUUGUGUUGCUUUUAUAUUUUGUCAAUUUUAUUCUACAAAUUGCCAUGAAAAUUUGCAAUAUCUUGCUUUACUGGGAAGAGCUUCUAUAGCUAUCUGAAUGUCACUUUCAAUAUCUAAUAGCUUUGUUCUUUAAUUUGUUAACUUUAACAAUGACAAUUGGUUGUGGAUAUCAAAUUUGCAUUUAGAUUCACAGUAUUAAACUAUCUAAGGUUAUGACUUAUAGUGGAUCUCCAUUGUUAUUUAAAUCUUUUUACCAAAUGAUUCAUCUGUGUCCUAUAUUUGUAAUGUGAGGUUAAUUGGUUGCAAUGUUGAUUGGUAGCUAAUAAAAGUACAUUUGAUCUUUAUGCUCUUUUGAAUUGAAUGCUUGCUCAGUUUUGUGUUGUCAUCUUGAAACUACUGGUUUUGUUACUGGCAUUGUGAUUGAUGUCAAUAUACUGCAUCAAGUCGUGCUUGUGGGUCACAUGGAUACAAAUGUAACUGUGGCAUGCAACCUACAACCACAAUGUGAUUGUUAAGGCAAUGUAAUACCCUGAUUAUAACAAAUAGUUAUGAUCAAUGUAACCCUAAACCCUUUCGAGGACAUCCAUAGCUUAGUCCAAAUAAAUUUUGGAUCAUCAUAGAUCUUAUUGGAUCAGAUGAUGCUACAUGUUUUUAAAGCUGUAGAUUUGAAUGAUGGCUAGACAUAUUUUUUUUUUCUUGCUGCCUCUAGUGUUGUGUAUCAUUGAUAAAAGAACUCAAUAGUUUACAAAUGUGAUUUCUGUGUCCAGAAUUCUCUAGAAAAUCUUAUUCUUCACUUGUAUCUAGUGAUUUAUGUUUUUUUUUGUUUUGUUAACGUAUCUCUUCUAAAUGUAAUUUAGGAUGCUUUGAAUGCUUUAAUAGAAUAGAUUUUAAUGUUAUCUGUUGAUCUUUAUGCUCUUUUGAAUUGAAUAUUAUGCUACUGUCAUGAGAGGAUCCCUUCCCUACAAUAAUAGUGAUUGUUUGCGGGCCACAUCGGUCCAAAUGUAACUGUCAUGCAAUAGAGCAGAUGUUGUUAAGGCAAUGUGAUAUCCUGACCAUAAUCGGUAUAUAUGAUUGAUGUAAUUCUUUUCAAGACAUGUAUAUAGCAUAGUCCAAUAAGUUUUGAUACAUCAUAGAACAAAAUUCAUUUGGACCAUACUGCACUUUUCUUUUCAUGCUACUCAAAAUGUUUUUUUUUAGUGGUGGCCAAGCUUUGAACCUUGGACCUUGCAUAUAUUAUGUAUUGUUUAUACAAAUUGAAUUAAGCUCACGAGGACAAAUGUUUAUACAAGUUAUAGAUGGUAGAAGUCAAUUAAACGAAGUGUUUAGUAGACAAUAAGAGUUGUGUGAAACAUAUUUUUCAUGUUGUCUCGACAUUGGUGGUGUUUAUCAUUGAGAUACGGAACCCAUCUAGUGUAAGCUCUACAAGCAAUUACUAAUAUGUUUUUCUUGUCCAAAAUUCAGUACAGAAGUUUAUUACUUUUCUUUAGCAUAUGUUUGGUUUGAUGUUGAAAUUAUCAAUCUCGCAGAGGAAUUGGAGUUUUCCAAACCCAUACUUAGUCUGUGUAUCAAUAGUGAAACUUGAUUGGAUCUGCAUUGGGUAACUUCCAACCCAGAUCUUGAUUUGCUAGCCUUGACUGAUCUUUAACCCAAACUUGAAAUUAAAAAUAAUUCUCAAAAGGGAGGAUAAACAUGCGAUUUUGUCAAAAAUUUGGUGAUGAUGAGGUUUUCAAAUUUGGGAGGAGUAAGGUUCAUGUUUUUCAAUCUCACUUAUAUAUUUGAUUAGAUUUAUUACAAAGUGUCUGUUUAACAUGUAGUUCUCGAUGAUUUGAAUGUUUUGGAAUUAUGAUGGUUAUGAAUAGUUAUCUAGUCUUUGCUUUAUUGUUGUGUUGCUUUUAUANCAACGAGCAUCAAGCUCGGGGGCUUUGCAUAGUCAAAAGAAGGUGCUCAACGAGCAUAGAGCUCGGGGAUUUCACCCGGUUAAAAGAAUUCUCCCAAGGAUUAUAAAGCUCAGGGGGCUGAAGAAAGCCUUAUAAGACUUCCAGACAUGUCUAUUGAAGUAAACAUAUAUAAAUUUGUUAAGGUUUUUUUUUUUAUAUAUAUAUAACAAAUGUAAGUACAUUACCUAUUUAAGUAAACAUGUAUAAAUUUUUGGAGAAAACUUAGGUACAAUUCCUUAAGUGCUUUUCGUAUGGUUGUGAACUAAAUUCACCAUGAUUUCCUCAAAUCCAUAAUUUUCUCCUAAAUUUUUUAUUAUUUUUUCUAACAAAUAUUAGUACGUUAACUGUUGUAUACAUAUUUUAUCCCUUACUAAUAUUUGAACCGUACACUUUUAACUUGGUAAUUUUUUUUUAUUCAAAAUUUUUCUCAUAUCAUAUCUCAACUCUUGAAAUAGAUUUUUCGUUGCUUCUAAAUUUUCAUUAGGCAUGACCUAUAAAAUAAAAAUAAUCUGUUUAAUAGGUAAAUAUGUAAUACACAUCAUUAACAAUGUGAUUAGGUAGAAUAAAUUUAAGCAUUAAAAAAUAGAAUAUAUUUCAGUUUGACUAAGCUAUGUAUCCAUAUUUUAAAAUCCGAUUAGUCGUGUAUAUGAUUAUCUUUAAUUAAAAUACAUGCUUCAUUCGUUCUUAAAUAUAAGAUCUUUUUAGUCGAAUCAUGGGAAAUAAAAAAAUUGGUAGUAAUAUUAAAUUUGUUUAUAAUUAUUAUUCUUACGAUUUUAUCAUUUAAGAGAUUGUUUAUGUUUUCAACAUAAUAGUAUUUAUUGUUGAUUGAAGAAAAAUAUGUAAAAUAAAUAUGGGUAUGUUGGUAAAAAAAUAAUUAAUAUAGUUUUGUUUAUGGAAAAUAAUUAAUAUAGUUGAAAAUGCCAAAUGGUCUUAUAAAGAGAUAAAUAAAUUUAAGUUUUUUUUAGUCUCGUUUUGGUGCCUUCUGUUAGGUCUCCGUUAGUUUUAAUAAUAAACGUUAAGUGUGGACACGUGUCACCUCGUCAUUGGCUCUGAGAUUUUUUAUUUUAUUUUUUAAAAAAUUUAUUUAAGGGACCAAAAGAGCAUUUAAGCCUAUUUAUAAAGAUUAAAAAAAAAAACAUAUUUAAACCAAAGAUUUAUCGUUGUGUCGAACCAAAUGUAACUCGCUUUGUGAAACUCAUCAAACUCAUCUUGUCCUUCACUCCACCUUAGGUUUACGGAGCGGCUACAAAGAGAGACACACAUUCUUUGUUUGUUUAUUGUGCUCACACCCACAUAACAGAGCAUAUUUUCUUCAAAAAUGGAAGAUGUGAUAACAGAAGCAGCACCACCAUCAAGAUUACUAGAAGAAGACCUAAACAAUUUCACACCAUCUUCUCCACCACUCCCUUCACCUUUUCUCCUCUUCCCUCACACACAACAACAACAACAACCUCUCAAACCCACACUCCUCAUCAUCGCUAUCUCUUCUCCCUCUCUCUCCCUUUUCCACAAUCUCCUCACCCCACAAACCCUAACCUCCUCUCUCAUCCUCCCUGAACUCCCUCUCUCCUAUCCUAACAACACCAUCAACAUCCACUCUCUCUCUUCCACCAUCCUCCUCGCCGCCGUUCAAAACCCUAUCCCUGAUAAUCGCGCUUACGCCGUCGCUGAAAUCCUCCUCAGCAACCAGAUCUGCCCUGAUUCGGUUAUUAUACUUGAUUCUAUCCAGCCGAUGAAUCACCGUGGUCUGCUUUCUUCCGACGAGGCGGUUGCAUUCAAGCUGGAGAGUUUUGCCGAAAGGAAGAAGGCGAAUGAGGAGAAAUUGUUGGGAGGAUUGGAUUAUUACCCGUCUGGAAGCGUUGUUGAUGGACUCGGUGCCGCCAUUCUUGGACGGUGUCAGAUUUUGAAAAUUAGGGCUAGCUUGUGUGUUACUUGGCCUCAAUUUGAUUCAGAUGUUGUUUUGUUGUUGAAGGAUUUGCUUCGAGGUUUGGGUGAGUUUGAGUUUGGGUUUAGUGAUGAUGAGGUUUUCAAAUUUGGGAGGAGUAAGGAUCAUGUUUUUCAAUCUCACUUAUAUAUUUGAUUAGAUUUAUUACAAUGUGUGUUUAACAUUUAGUUCUCAAUGAUUUGAAUGUUUUGGAAUUAUGAUGGUUAUGAAUAGUUAUCUAGUCUUUGCUUUAUUGUUGUGUUGCUUUUAUAUUUUGUCAAUUUUAUUCUACAAAUUGCCAUGAAAAUUUGCAAUAUCUUGCUUUACUGGGAAGAGCUUCUAUAGCUAUCUGAAUGUCACUUUCAAUAUCUAAUAGCUUUGUUCUUUAAUUUGUUAACUUUAACAAUGACAAUUGGUUGUGGAUAUCAAAUUUGCAUUUAGAUUCACAGUAUUAAACUAUCUAAGGUUAUGACUUAUAGUGGAUCUCCAUUGUUAUUUAAAUCUUUUUACCAAAUGAUUCAUCUGUGUCCUAUAUUUGUAAUGUGAGGUUAAUUGGUUGCAAUGUUGAUUGGUAGCUAAUAAAAGUACAUUUGAUCUUUAUGCUCUUUUGAAUUGAAUGCUUGCUCAGUUUUGUGUUGUCAUCUUGAAACUACUGGUUUUGUUACUGGCAUUGUGAUUGAUGUCAAUAUACUGCAUCAAGUCGUGCUUGUGGGUCACAUGGAUACAAAUGUAACUGUGGCAUGCAACCUACAACCACAAUGUGAUUGUUAAGGCAAUGUAAUACCCUGAUUAUAACAAAUAGUUAUGAUCAAUGUAACCCUAAACCCUUUCGAGGACAUCCAUAGCUUAGUCCAAAUAAAUUUUGGAUCAUCAUAGAUCUUAUUGGAUCAGAUGAUGCUACAUGUUUUUAAAGCUGUAGAUUUGAAUGAUGGCUAGACAUAUUUUUUUUUUCUUGCUGCCUCUAGUGUUGUGUAUCAUUGAUAAAAGAACUCAAUAGUUUACAAAUGUGAUUUCUGUGUCCAGAAUUCUCUAGAAAAUCUUAUUCUUCACUUGUAUCUAGUGAUUUAUGUUUUUUUUUGUUUUGUUAACGUAUCUCUUCUAAAUGUAAUUUAGGAUGCUUUGAAUGCUUUAAUAGAAUAGAUUUUAAUGUUAUCUGUUGAUCUUUAUGCUCUUUUGAAUUGAAUAUUAUGCUACUGUCAUGAGAGGAUCCCUUCCCUACAAUAAUAGUGAUUGUUUGCGGGCCACAUCGGUCCAAAUGUAACUGUCAUGCAAUAGAGCAGAUGUUGUUAAGGCAAUGUGAUAUCCUGACCAUAAUCGGUAUAUAUGAUUGAUGUAAUUCUUUUCAAGACAUGUAUAUAGCAUAGUCCAAUAAGUUUUGAUACAUCAUAGAACAAAAUUCAUUUGGACCAUACUGCACUUUUCUUUUCAUGCUACUCAAAAUGUUUUUUUUUAGUGGUGGCCAAGCUUUGAACCUUGGACCUUGCAUAUAUUAUGUAUUGUUUAUACAAAUUGAAUUAAGCUCACGAGGACAAAUGUUUAUACAAGUUAUAGAUGGUAGAAGUCAAUUAAACGAAGUGUUUAGUAGACAAUAAGAGUUGUGUGAAACAUAUUUUUCAUGUUGUCUCGACAUUGGUGGUGUUUAUCAUUGAGAUACGGAACCCAUCUAGUGUAAGCUCUACAAGCAAUUACUAAUAUGUUUUUCUUGUCCAAAAUUCAGUACAGAAGUUUAUUACUUUUCUUUAGCAUAUGUUUGGUUUGAUGUUGAAAUUAUCAAUCUCGCAGAGGAAUUGGAGUUUUCCAAACCCAUACUUAGUCUGUGUAUCAAUAGUGAAACUUGAUUGGAUCUGCAUUGGGUAACUUCCAACCCAGAUCUUGAUUUGCUAGCCUUGACUGAUCUUUAACCCAAACUUGAAAUUAAAAAUAAUUCUCAAAAGGGAGGAUAAACAUGCGAUUUUGUCAAAAAUUUGGUGAUGAUGAGGUUUUCAAAUUUGGGAGGAGUAAGGUUCAUGUUUUUCAAUCUCACUUAUAUAUUUGAUUAGAUUUAUUACAAAGUGUCUGUUUAACAUGUAGUUCUCGAUGAUUUGAAUGUUUUGGAAUUAUGAUGGUUAUGAAUAGUUAUCUAGUCUUUGCUUUAUUGUUGUGUUGCUUUUAUAUUUUGUCAAUUUUAUUCUACAAAUUGCCAUGAAAAUUUGCAAUAUCUUGCUUUACUGGGAAGAGCUUCUAUAGCUAUCUGAAUGUCACUUUCAAUAUCUAAUAGCUAUUUGAAUGAUAGCAGCAGGUAUGGAGGAACAUUAUUAGUAGACAAUAAGAGCUGUGUAAAACAGAUUUUUCUUGCUGUUUCGACAUUGGUGGUGUUUAUCAUUGAGAGAUAUGGAACCCAUCUAGUGUAAGCUCUACAAGCAAUUACUAAUGUUUUUCUUGUCCAAAAUUCAGUACAGAAGUUUAUUGCUUUUAUUUAGCAUAUGUUUGGUUUGAUGUUGAAAUUAUCAUUCUCGCUGAGGAUCAAUAGUGAAACUUUAUUGGAUCUGCAUUGGGGGCACUCCCAACCCAGCUUAAUUGAUUUGCUAGCCUUGACUGAUCUUUAAGCCAAACUAGAAAUUAAAAUUAAUUCUCAAAAGGGAGGAUAAACAUGCGAUUAUGUCAAAAAUUUGGUAAGUUAGUUGAGACUUGGAAUAGAGAAAAAAAUGCAUGUACAGAACUGAAAUUAAGUUAAGUGAUGAAUUAUGUGAUUUUGUCAAUAUAUUUAAGUGAUUACUAUUGAUUUUGAUCUAUAGUAAGAAUUAAGAAACAUACAAUAUCUUUGGUGUACGAUCUAUAAUGUUCUUUGAGCCUGCUCUAACUCUUGUGAGUCUCAGUGUCCAACUUCUUUAAAACUUUUUAUUAUAAAAAUAAAAAACAUGACGGGUCAAUUUGAAGCCAAAUUAAUUCUUGUCACAAAGUUUCUAGUUUUGAUCUGUCUUCAACAUAACACAAUCUAGAGGUGGAAAAUUGUCAAUAUGGAUGAGAAAUUUGUAGAUAUAUAUGCUAUGUAUUCUUGCACGGAUAUAUAAAGAAAGAUAAUACUCUUAAUCGUGCACUUCAAAACCAUGACUGAAUUCGUAUUAGAUUUUGCUUCCUUAAUUAAAACCUGCAAGAAUUUGAUUAAGUCCAUAUGCAAUCUUUUUAUUCUUGGAGGAAAAACAAGAAUGCCAACAUGCAAUGCAAAUCGACAUCAUAUAAAAUUGCUAUUUGAAUUUUGACGUGUGGAAAUGUAUCAUACUGUUAAAUAUGACUUUUUGGUAAGCAAAAUUCAAUUGAUUUCUGUCUCAUAAAUUAAAUUAAAUUAAGCUGAUGUAAUGCUAGGUGGUAACCUAAAACCUAACCUAUAUAACGUUAGACUAAUGAAACCUGUCUCAAAAACGACAGAAAGAUAACAACAAAAUAUGAAAAAAAAUAUUUGUCCAACAUUUCAUACAAUUUUUUUUUUUGAAAAAGGCUAAAAUGGAAUUUAUUAAGAUAGCAAUGAAUCUUAACCAGUACAAGGAGUGUUAGGCUAUGAGAGUCUUACCGUAGCAACAAACAAAUGAUGAUGGGAAGCCCCCAAUGGAAAACCCAUACACCCGUGAAAAUAAAGAAAAAUCCAAAAACCUAUAGGAAACGUCUCCUAACAAAGGACUAUAUCUGGAAUCAAUAAAUAGAAACACCAAAACAAAGCUAACAUCACGAACAACGAAACAACAUAAACAAAAUCCUCAAACAUCGUCACAACUGCCACAAAAACAACUUCUACCACCCACAUUCCGCUGCUCGCACACAACCCUGAACACCAACAUGUCGUACAUGAUCAAUGCUCAUUGAUAAUAAAGAACUGAAUAUAUAAAGUGCAAAUUAGCUGUUAAUUUGGAUUGGAUUUGGUGACUGGCCUUCAAAUAAAUAAAUUAUUAAUUAGUUAAAUUGUACAUGUUGGUCACACAACUUUUAAUCACUUUUUUUUUUUCUCUAGCUAUACCUCUGUAUUUCUAUGUGUGUGUGGACAAUGUUACUUUUAGUUUAAGAACACUCACCAACUUAGGCAAUAUUAGUUGCAUCUUCUCUUGACUCUAAAGAACAUCUUUAAGAAACAUUGAAUUCGCAAAUGCAUGGAAAAGGUCAAGGUGCAACACUACACUUCACAUCACUUAUUAUAUAUUCACUUAUUCCUAUCUAUUUCCCCAACUCAACAUUCUUCUCAAGCUAACCUCUAAUAAUACACUAACAAUGGAUACUCCAUUUCUGUUCAAAUUUGUUUUUUUACAUAUUUUUCUUUUGUUUGGCUUUCUUGGUGACAAUAGAUUGUAUGCAAGUGAGCCUCAACUAACACUUGAUUACUAUGCAUCAACUUGUCCUACUGUGUUUGAUAUUGUCAGGAAGCAAAUGGAAUGUUCGGUGCUUUCUGAACCUCGUAACGCAGCCUCGGUUGUUCGGCUUCACUUCCAUGACUGCUUUAUUCAGGUCUCAAAAACUUGCCUUUUUUCCUUGUAAUUAUUGCUUCUGUUUUCAUGUUGGAAAGAAAAAAGAGUAAAUCCUCGACAUAUUUCCAUUUACCACACCGAUUCUACUAAAAUGUUAGUCAUCUUAAACAUCAUCUUCGGGUUUUACAAAAUGAAUAUCUAAGAACCAAUGUGGUGAUAAAAAUACCUUUAAUUGAGAGAUAAAUUUGGAGAUAAAAUAAAAAUUUCAAAAUACUAAUAUGGCUGUGAUUUUGAUUUUUGAAGGACUAAUUUAGUAAUCAAAAUGUUGAAUGAAACAAGUUAUGUCUGUGUAUACUUUGCAAUAUCAACUUAAGUUUUACUCCAAAAAUAGUAAAGCUACAUUACAUGUUCCAUUCAAAGUAUUAGAUGAACCUAUUGAGGAGAUAAAGAAAAUUCGUACUAAAGAAACUUGAUUUUAUGUGUUCAGGGUUGCGAUGGAUCGAUCUUGCUCGAUGAUACAUACACACUUAAAGGUGAAAAGAAAGCAGCUACCAACAUCCACUCUUUAAAAGGCUUUGAAAUUAUCGAUCAAAUCAAGAACUUUGUUGAAUCAGAGUGCCCUGGAGUUGUUUCUUGUGCCGAUAUUCUCACAAUUGCGGCUAGAGAUGCUGUGAUUCUGGUAAAACAAACAAUACAAUAUGUACAACAAAAUUCAAUCUUUAUCUUAUAUAAGUUAUUGGAUUUAUGAUAUCUCUUUGUCCUUUGAUUUCUUGUAGGUUGGUGGACCAUACUGGGAUGUUCCUGUGGGAAGGAAAGAUUCCGUGACUGCAAGUUUUGAACUUGCUAACACCAAUCUUCCAACACCUGAUGAAAGCCUUGUUUCUAUCAUUCCCAAAUUUCUUUAUCAAGGCCUAUCAGUCACGGAUAUGGUUUCCCUUGUCGGUAUGUUCUUAUGACUGAUUUACAACUUAGGACUCAGAGUACUUGCCGAAGAAGCUCAUAGUUCUUGUCUUAAUGAGUGAGACAGUGACCUGAUCGCUAUUAGUUCGAGAAAAAAAAAUGGAAAAAUGAAUGAGUCGUCAAAUCUGAACUCAUAUUCAUUUUCCUUUGUUUUUGUUUUUGUAGAACAAACAUCCAUCAGGUCACCGUCUCACAUAUGAAUGAGAACAAGGAUCACUGAGUUUCUAUUUUCAAGGAGCGGCAUUAUUCACCAUUGGUGUGUUUUGUGUAAUUUUAAAGCGUGAUUCAUCGUAAAACCCGCCUUCCUUGAUUUAUGAUCAUUCUAGCUAGCAUAUUAACUAGAGAGAAUAGACCUUACACAGAUUGUUUUGUACAAUUAGUACAACUCUCAGUUUUACCACAAUAAUCCUCAUCUCGGCUCAAAUGAAAUGUACAAAAUAACAAACCAAAUUGCAUUGCAUAAAUAAUAACAAUAUGAAUAUUUUGACCAUUUCUUCACAUUGCCUUGCAAUAAAAGUCAAUAACUGGUUUCCUCGUAAGAUUCCUAGGUAGUUGUAAAAGUAAUUUGUAAUAAACGUUGUUGCGUGCUAUAUAAAUUUCCUGAUCACAACACAUGCAGGAUCCCACACCAUUGGUAUGGCAAGGUGUCAAAAUUUUCGAUCAAGAAUAUAUGGAGACUAUGAAUCAACUUCAGUGAAAAAUCCAAUCUCAGAUAAUCAGUUCAACAACCUGAAAUCUAUUUGUCCACCAAUUGGGGGAGGAGACAAUAACAUAACGGCAAUGGACUAUGUGACGCCUAAUCUCUUCGACAAUUCUUUCUACCAGUUACUAUUAAAAGGCGAGGGAGUUCUUAACUCAGAUCAAGAAAUGUACUCGAGUGUGUUCGGAAUCGAAACAAGAGAGCUUGUCAAGAAGUAUGCAGCAGACUCUCUUGCUUUCUUCCAGCAAUUCUCUGAUUCCAUGGUCAAAAUGGGAAAUAUCACAAAUUCAGAAAGCUUCAUCACGGGAGAAGUUAGGAAGAACUGCAGAUUUGUUAACACAUAAAACUUUCAUUUUUUGGAUUAUGUAUUUUAUGUUUGUUUCGACACAUAUAGAACCAUUAAUUUUAUGUGUUUCAGUCACUUUCAGCCAUAGCUAGUUGAUACAAUGAUAUGUAACAAAUGAAGCAAGCAAUUAUAUAAUGAACAAAUGAAGUAAAAUCGACUGAUUUCCUUUUCAUACAAAGAAAGGUGUUGAGUUUGAGAAUGAAAGUUGAUGUAGCCAAUGUUAGAUUUCCUUGCAGAUCAAACUUUAAAAAUUCAGAUCUAAUACAUAAACUAGCUCAUGAUCUUGAUCUAACCAUAUUAACACUAUGGUAUGGUAUGCUAGAAUAAAAAAGGGUGAGAAAUUAUUAUACUAUAUGGGAGAAUGAUUUUUUAGAGGUGACGCAUAUGCAUAAUCAUAGCUUAAGAAUAAUGAGUCAAAUUUAAUUUAUGGGAAUAUCUUUGAGGUACCAUAUCAUCACAAUGCUAGAUCAGGAGUAACUCAAACUUACUUUACAAUAUAAAUAUAGAAGACAAAUAUAUAAUUGAUAGAAACACUUAUACAUUCAACCUUAACCUCAUACUUUCAAAUAUAUAAAAUCCAUAUAAACUUUAUUAAAUUAAAUCUAAAAAUAUUGCUAAUAAAUUUAUUAAACCUUAAUUAAAAGAAAACAACUAAAUGGCAAUAAUGUCAUUUAAUUAUCCUUAAAAUAAGGUAAUAAUAAAACUUCCCCAAAAGAAUGUGAGUAUAGUUAGACAAUUUCAUAAGAUGCACCCAAAUUUACUCUUAAUUGUAGGAAACUCAGUUGAUGGAAAGCAUGAAGGUCAGCCAAUUCCAUGAUCAAAGGUUAAAUUUUCAUGUAAAUCAUCAAAACAUGAUUUUGACUCUCUAAUUUCACGAAGAUCAUAAGAACAUUUCAUUAGAAUUUUGAAUAGAUGUGUGCUUCUACAAUUAGUUACCUAGACCUUGAAUAGAUGUGUGCUUCUACAAUUAGUUACCUAGGAUACUUGAUCUUAUAAGAACCUAUUCAAUUAAAAAUAUAAUAAGAGUAUUUUCACUUAUUACAAAGACACGAAUACUUGAUCAAAUUAAACCAACACCUAUGGAUAAAGAUUCUUACUUUCUCUUGUUCGACCGUUUAAGAUUUUUGGUGUUGAGAGUUUUGAGUUUUGAGUAAGAUCCUACCAAAUCCUCCUCCAUCUAUGGCAAUUAGUUGAGAAGGAAAAAUCUCUAAUAGUUAUAGCAACAACCACAUGUUGGCUUGGAAUAAAAAUGAAUAAAAAUAUAUUCAUUUUUUAUGCAUUUUUAAUAUGUUUUCUUCCACAUGUUUAGUGAACUCUUGAUCGCAUAACAAUGUUAAAUAUAUGAAGUGUCCUUUCAACAAAACUCUCUCUUUUACCAAAACCUGUGUAUUUGAAAUCAAAGAAAAAAUAUCCAUUAGAGAAUACGAAAAAUUAUAGAAAUAGAAACACACACAAACAAAGCUUAAAAAGAAAAUCAAAACUAUCAAAAAAUGAAAUGGAAGAAGAAAUGAAAAGGAUAACAUAAGCAACAUAUAUAAGCUUAGAAAAAAAUGAGGAGCUUUAUAGUAAUAAACUUGUGUGUGUAAGAGGAUUGAUUAAGAAUAUGAAUAAUUUUAAAAUUUAACCCCUCAAUAUUAAUAAAAUGGAUUAUAAUGCAUUCAUUGUGUAACUUGCAUGAAGUGAAGUAAAUGAAGUGUUUUUGCAGCCAAUGGAAAAUGAAAGAUAGAUAGUAAGGAAUGACUAAUAAAGAAUCAAGAACAAAAGAUAGCCACAUGACAUAAGUAUGAGAGAUUAGUUAGAAAGGGGGUAUUGGUAAGGUGACACAUAGGAAAAAUGUAGCUUAGAAUAUAUAUAUAUAUAUAUAUAAGGACUAAAACCAAAAAAAAAAAAAUUGCAUAGAUCAAACUCAAAAAAUUGUGUAACUGCAAGAACUAAUGACAUGUAUAAACCUAUUCAUUAUUAUUCACAUUUAAAAAUACUUGAAAAAGAUUUUUAAAUUUACGGGUUCCAUGUUGAUUGGAACAUACAUAAUUGAAUGAUAAAUUAUAAUAAUUUAUAAUAAGACAUAAGAAAAGUAAAUAUAAAAACUUCCCUAAAAAAAAAAGUAAAUAUAAAAACUAUGUGUCCUUCAAAAUAUAUAUAUAUAUAUAUAUAUAUAUAUAUAUAUAUAUGACAAAUUCUAUGGUACACCCAACAAUUUGAGUGUAUUGGUACACCAAAUCUUUAAAUUAAUAGUUAAAUGAGUUAUUUUUUAUAGGAAAAAAAUAUUUUCCAUCACCUAUAAUUAUAAUAACUAAAUCUUAUUUACCAAAAACGUCAACACAAUAAAAUUCGAUUUUUCUGAAUUCAUAUUACUCAUAAUAGAGAAUUUUGAUUAUUUUUUUACAAUAAAAUGUAGAAAAAUUUAAUAUGAUUUUUCUAAAAAAUGAAAUGAUGUUCUUUUUUAUAAAAUGAUAUUUUCUAAAAUAUAUAUGUCAACAAACACCAAUUUUCUUUCAUAAAAAAUGAUAGUUAACUUAUAAAAAUUGUAAGCGAGAGUACCGGUACACCUUAAUUUACGGAUACACCGUAGAAAUUCCAUAUAUAUAUAUAUAUAUAUAUAUAUAUAUAUGAUGUUUUAAUGAAACUAGACUUGUUGAAGUGAUUAUCAACGUGUCAUAACCCAUGUGCAAUGUUGCUUUAACUUUAUUAGCUGUGUACUUUGGUAUAUGGUCAUCAACAGUAACAUAACAUUUUAUUUUUGAAUUUGAGACCGUCAAUGAUAUUACUCCGUUUCUUUUUAUCUGUUAUUUUUUUAUAUUUUACACAAACUAAGACACUUAAUAAAUAUUACUUUUUCUUAUACAAUAAUUUAUAUUUUUACUAUAAUAUCCUUAUUCAUUUAAUAUUUUAUUUCAUAUAUUUCUUUCUCCGUAAUAAAUAAUUAAGGGUAAUGUUGGUAAAACAACAUUUAUUGUUGCAUUGAACUUUGAAAGUGACAGUUAAAUAGGAACAAAAAAUUUCUCCAAAAGAGACAUUUAAAAAGGAACGGAGGGAGUAAUAGAUGAGUACGACAUCAGAGAGGUAGAAGUGAACCUACCUAUGAUUUUAUGAUUUUUUUUAGAUAGACAAAAUGACAAAACCAUUAUAAACUCAUACAUAAGGGUGGACAAAAAUUCAAAGUCCAACCCAAACCGGUAUAACCAGCUGUAUAAACGGACGGGGUUUAAACGGGUUGUCGGGUCUACGGAUUGCCAAUUUCGGUUUUCUGUGAGUAUAUAUGGACGGGCUCGGAUGUCCAAAAUGGAACCAAGGGAAACCGAAACCCGCCCGAUUAGCUACCCACCCAUGUCUCACUUUUCAUUCAAUUACUCAGGGAUGGAUGUGACGAAACUCACAAUCUGUCAGAUACCCCAUCUUAUUAAAUAAUGCAAUAAAUUUACUUUUAUUAUUACUAUCACAACAACUUAGUACAAGUUAUUAUUACCAUCACAACCACUCAGUACAACAACAAAUUGUAUUUUAUUUUUCUUUUUGCUGAUAUUGCUGUAUGGAAAAGAGAGAGAACAGGGCUAUACUAAUAUUUAUCAACGCUACUAUCAUCCAUCACCUUGAGAUAUUAACUUUCUUUUUCCUCUCUCAAGACACCUUCCUACGUCCCACCACCUCUCUCUAUUUUCUCUUCACAAUUGUUGUGGUCAAUUUCUUUUGUUAUUGUCAUUAGAUCUACAAGUUUUGAACAAAAUAGUUGUUCACCUAUAUGGAUUUAACAAUCUAUCUUCAUCUUCUGUGUUAUUAUUUCUGUGUAUUUUGCUUUUGAUGUUAUUUUAGUUAUUUGUAGGAGGUCAGUAACUUCUUUUCAUUAUUUAUAAUACAAGUAAAAAUAAUUACUUGUACUGUAAUGAGUAAUAUAAUAAUUUGAUAAAAAUUAAAGAAAAAAAAAUACACAUUUUCUAUUGUAAAGUUCACCAUAAAACAAUACAUUUUCAUCUCAUUCUUCUUUUUUCCUCUAUCUCUAAUUUAAGUCAUGACAAAAGUAGGAGUUAGUGUUGGUCUGAAGUAUGGCCGUGUAAAUGAAACUAAUGAUGUUAAUUACCUUAGAGUGCUUGUAAAUUCAGCCGUUUGAGUCAAGGACUUGUUGAUAAAGUGUUUUGGGUUUAAGUCUGAGGAUAUAAUCCUUCUCAUAGAUGAAUAUCCGUCGAUGGCUUCUCCUUCAAAAAAUUAUUUUGAAAUAAAAUCAAGUGUUGUCACCCACGCAACCCUUUUGACAUUGUUGCUGGAUUUGUUUAAGAACCUUAAAGCGGGUGAUACCUUGUUUUUUUACUUUGCUGGACAUGGAUUUAGGUCAAAGAGUAAGCCAAAAUACGAUAACGACACUAGUUAUGUAGAAGCCAUAUGUUUGAACCUUAACUCUAAUAUUUUUGGUAAUAUGUUUUCUCUUUGAUUGUAUUCGCUCUCUUUCUCCAUAUAAAAUCUCUGAUGUGUUUGGUGGCUAUCUGUUACUUGUGUUAUGCAGAUUAUGACUUUAGAGAACUUGCGAAGCAUGUUCCUGAAGGAUGUUAAUUUGUUAUGAUGGUGGACAACUGCAAUUCUGCUGGGUUACUUGAUGGUUUGACUGAAGUUAUCGACGAUAGUCAUCAGUCUGCAAACGUCGUUAAGAACAAAACUCAACAAUCAAAUUUUUUUAAGGGAGCUAAAAUGGAUAAAGAGCCUUCAGGUGUGUUGGUAAGCUCUUGUCAAUCUUAUGAGAGUUCUGUUGGAGAGCUUAUUAGUAGUAUAUCAAAAUUGAGGAGGUGUAUUUGGAUCUUCCAUACAUACCUCCACUAUUUUAAAAACUUCUUCUUCUUCCAUUUUUUAACGUCACCAGAAUUGAGGAGGUGACGCUAAAAAAUGGAAGAAGAAGUUUUUAAAAUAGUAGAGGUCUGUAUGGAGUAUCCAAAUACAACUUCUCAAUUUCGAUCUACUACUAUAAACCUUCCAACAGAACUCUCAUAAGAUUGACAAGAGCUUACCAACACAUCUGAAGGCUCUUUAUCCAUUUUAAAUCCUUUAAAAAAAUCUGAUUGCUGACGUUUGUUUUUAACGACGUUUGCAGACUGAUGACUAUCGCCGAUAACUUCAGUCGAACCAUCAAGUAACCCAGCAGAAUUGCAGUUGUCCAUCAUCAUAACAAAUUGACAUCCUUCAGGAACAUGCUUCGCAAGUUCUCUAAAGUCAUAAUCUGCAUAACACAAGUAACAGAUAGCCACCAAACACAUCAGAGAUUGUAUAUGGAGAAAGAGAGCGAAAACAAUUAAAGAGAAAACAUAUUACCAAAAAUAUUAGAGUUAAGGUUCAAACAUAUGGCUUCUACGUAACUAGUAUCGUUAUCGUAUUUUGGCUUACUCUUUGACCUAAAUCCAUGUCCAGCAAAGUAAAAAAACAAGGUAUCCCCCGCUUUAAGGUUCUUAAACAAAUCCAGCAACAAUGUCAAAAGGGUUGCGUGGGUGACAACACUUGUUUUAUUUCAAAAUUAUUUUUUGGAGGACAAACCAUCGACGGAUAUUCAUCUAUGAGAAGGGUUAUGUCCUCAGGCUUAAACCAAAAAUGCUUUAUCAACAAGUCCUUGACUAGAAAAGCGGAAUUGAUAGAUCCUCUAAGGUAAUUAAGAUCAUUGGUUUCAUUUACACGGUUAUAUUUUAAACCAACACUAACUCUACUUUUGCUAUGACUUAAAUUGGAGAUAGAGGAAAAAAGAAUGAAGAGAUGAGAGUGUAUUGUUUUAUGGUGAACUUUGCAAUAGAAAAUGUGUGUAUGUUAUAUAGACUAGGGGUGGCGAUGGACAGAAACUCACAAUCCGUUUGAACCGACGGUUGCAAUAUCCAAGCCCACUCCCGUCCGUUCAUGGAAUCGGUUUCCUCGGAUGGCGGUUUAGACGGAUUACGGUUUCUUCGGUUGGUUUAUCUCGGGUCCUUAUUGAUCAUCGUCUCCAUUAUCGACCAAAACUCAUAAAAAAAAAAACAGAAUCAGAUACUAGAAAUAGAGAGGAGCUUCUGGUUAAGAUCAAAGAAUGCGGUCUACGGUCACCGGUGCCACUCAGCAUGUCCCCUACACUCCGGCUGACAGGGUAAAGAAACUCUAAUAAUAAUUAAAGAUGAAGAGAGGGUUUUGAGUCUAGAGAGGUGAGAGUCAAUUAUUAAGUUGUAGAUCUACGUUGUUAACUCAUUAUGGUGUCUCUCAAACCUCCAGCACAAGGCCAACAUAUUGUGAUAUCUAACCUUCGUGAAUCAGUCUGGGUAAAUAACAAAAUAGAGAGUAAAGAGCAUAUGAAAGAUUGAGAGAAGUAUUUGGGAUUUUUGUUCUUGAGAAGAAGAUAUGUGUCGUGAGAGAAAUAUGGGGAGAGCGUAGGUAAGGUUUUGGGAAAGUACUGUCACUACUUUCUACACACAAAAAAUAACAAAUAAAUACAAAAAUAAAAUAUAGGUCACAAAAAUGAGUUUAUUCUUAAUUCAAUUAAAAAAAGUAGACUUAAAAAAACAGUGUAUGUGGCUCUGUACAACAAUAAAGUAAGCUAUCUGCUAUGAAUAUAGUAAAAUAUAGGUGAAAAACUAAAAAGUAGUCUGAUACUCGAAAAAGUCUUAGUUGAUCACAAACACAGAUAAAUAGUACUUAGGCGCACACACAUGGAAGAGAAAAAUUAAAAGAUAAAAGUAAAAAAUGAUGUGAUUAAUUUAUUUCUCUAUUAAAUUUUUUUAAUUAUGAGUGUGUGCCCAAAUGUUUUUCAUUUGGGUUUGUGUGUAUAGAAGAGUUGCUCCUGAUACUCUUUGUGAUUGAUAUAUAGGAUUGGAAGCUGCUACUAGUAUAAUACUCCUUCCGAUCCUAUUUACAAGAUAAAGUUAACUUUUUAGAUACAUUGAAUAAUGUAUAUAUUUAGUCAAGAACCUAAACCAAAUACAUAAAUUAUUUAAUGUAUAUAAAAAGUUAAUUGUUUCUUGUAAAUAGGACCGGAGGGAGUAUAACUCUCGAUCGGUUAACGGAUUUCGAUGAGUUAAAUUUCGUCCAAUUCUAUCUGCAGUAGACCAAAAACAUAAACCUGUAGGCCCGAAAACCCGAAAUGGGCCGCCCGCAGCAUUUAUUUAUUUAUCGGGUACAUCGAUUUCGGGCGGUUGUCGGAUUUUUGUCCAGCCCUAAUAUAGACGUGUUUAGAAAAUGUGUAUUUUUUUUCUUUAGUUUUUAUCAAAUUAUUAUAUUACUACAAGUAAUUAUUUUUACUUGUAUUAUAAAUAAUGAAAAGAAGUUGCUGACCUCCCACAAAUAUAACCAAUUUCUGAUACAAUUAAAAUUCAUAGGUAGGUUUAUAAUGAUUGUUAGAUCGGACGCCCAUGACUGAGGUUCGAAUCCUAAUACUUCCAUUUAUAUGUGUAAGUUUAUAAUGAUUUUACCGUUUCAACUAUCUAUAAAAAAAAAAAAAAUCAUAGGUAGGUUCACUGCUACGUACCUCUGUGAUGCCGUACUCAUCUAUUAUCAUUGACGGUCUCAAAUUCAACAAGUAAAAUGUUCUGUUACUAUUGAUGACCGGUGGCAUUUUACAUUAAAUUUCAAUAUAAACAUAUAUGUAUAAGAUGAUGCUCCGUUGCAAAAUACAAUGGAAUCCUUUCCCAUCAUAGGAAAAGUGACUUUUGUACCAUUGAUUUAAUAAUAAAAUAAUUGAAUGGUUGAGAUGUAUUACUUGCUACCCUUUGAAAACUUUUUGUUUUUACAAAAUCACAAAAAUGCGGACCCCACACGUAAAUAGAAUGUUGUCUAUUUGUUUGGGCUGAUUUUUUUUAUUGAAUGGGCAUGUUGUUUAUAGGUUUACGUCAACCCGAAAAUAAGCCGCAUUUAGCGAAUAACUUACAAGCUCGUAUGUUUAAAAAGGCUCCGUUUGAUAAACGUUAUUUCAUCACGAAUUUUUAAUAUUGAUAAAAAAUAAAAUUAAAACUCUUGUUUUAGAAAACAACAUUCAGUUUUUUUUUUGCUCAAAAAAAGAAAAAGAAAACAACAUUCAGUGGAUAAUAUUGUUGUACAAUUUAUACACAGAACAACAGUCAAUCGCUAAUUAGUUAAUUAAAUUUAUUUUCUUACACAUCUUCAAAAUAAUAAUAAGAUAAUUUAUGACACAAUAAUUUGACGCAUAAGUCGCGCUUUAACGUAUAAUUCGUAUGGACCACGGUCUGUUGUUAAUUUUUUUAUUAAACACUUAAUCCUAAAACUAAACGGAAAAAAAAGCAAAAAGAAAAACCAAAAAAAAAUAUUAAAAAUGGUUGUUCCCUAAAGCCUAUGUAAAACACUAAAAAAAUGGCUUGUUCGCCAAAACGAAAAUAAAACAACAAAAAAAAAAUUGAAAACAAAUGCCUGUUCUCCAAAGCAUGCAUAGAACAAGGCAUUUGCAAUUUUUCCAAAAAAAAAAAAAAAAAAAGACAUUUGCAUUAUUAAAUAUCAACAAGGGUAUAGUUAUCAAUAAUUUUAGUCUGUGAUGCAGAAAAGAAAAAAUUUCGUCAAGAACUGAGAUACAUAAGGUGGUGGUGUACAAAGUAAUGUUUUCUAAAAGAGGAGGUGCAAAUCAAAUUUAAAUAUAAUAUAGCAUUCAAUUAUGUUUGUUCAAACCAAAAAAUCAAAUAAAAUAUGUAGCAACUUGUUGCAUUGUCAUAUGUAGGUAAAAAGUGACCUUUCCUAUGGUGGGAAAAGAUUCACCUUUCCCAUGGUAACCUUCACCUGGUAGUUAAGUUAAAAACUUAGAAGAGUUAAAAAGUAUGCCGGUAGAAAAUCUGAUACUCUCCUCUAAUAUAUAGAUCCACACCUAUAUAUAUGAAUUGUGAUGACUCGGCAUAUUUAGUUAAGAUUCAUCACCUCAUUCUCAUUUGAAACCUCCCUCUUCUUCAUCUCUCAAAAAUAUCUCCAAUUUACAUUCAGGAUUGAAAGAAAAUCAACCAGUGGAAACUGCCAGUUCCUGGGAGAGAAUCAAAUAUCCUGGGCCAGCAAAAGACAAGCAACUAUUGCUAUGUCUAAAGCAGAAGCAGAAUACAUAUCAGCUGCAAGUUGUUGAACACAACUACUUUGGAUGAAACAUCAGUUGGAAGACUAUCAGAUAAAUGCUAACAGUAUUCCCAUUUAUUGUGAUAAUAUUGCUGCUAUUUGUUUGUCAAAGAAUCCAAUUCUGCAUUCAAAAGCCAAACAUAUUGAAAUCAAACACCACUUUAUUAGAGACUAUGUUCAAAAAGGAAUUUUAGAUAUACAAUUCAUUGAUAUCGAACAUCAAUGGGCUGAUAUAUUUACUAAGCCUUUAACUCUGGAAAGAUUUGAAUUUAUAAAGAAAAAUUUGAACAUGCACCUUGUGUCUGAUUGAAUUUGCUUGCUCCUGAACUAGAAGUUUGGUUCUGAAGUCUUCUCAGAAGCUAUGGUCCAUCAGAAGCUUUUAACUGAGAUUCUGAGGAAAAUGGGCUUCUGAAGAUGAUGUCAGCACUUUAACUUCAGAAGCUGAAUUCUUUGCUCCUGAAUAGCAGGAUUAGUGGAAACGUUGGAAGUUACCCUUCAAGUAACACCUGUCCCACUAACUUAGCAGUUACUCUGAAACGCUUCUGACGUGGUUUAUUUGUAUUGGUGUAUGACUUAAGAGGGCAAUGAUGAUUUUUUAGCUUUGAAAGUACUAUCUCGCGCCCCCAAUUGUCAUUAAUGUUGUGUUUGUUUGUCCCCUUCUGAAUUGCAAUCGUUUUUACUCAAAACACUUAGACAAAACACACACUACUCACUUUAAAACCUACACUUUCAUCGUUUCAAACUAUUCUCUGCGAAGUAAGCGCAUUCCUCUUCACUCAAAUCCUUAGAACCUUAAAAAUUCAUCUUCAUCAUGGAAACUUCAAGCUCUGUUUCCAGAAUCAUCCAACAUGCAAGAAGCUGUUCCUGCUUACGAAAUCAAAGGAAGAACAAUGUCUUUGGAGGAAUGGGAUUUGAAGAUUCAAACGGAAAAUCCGGUUGAUUUGACAUCUCUUGCAUUUCAUGGCUGUGACAUAAGAAGAUUCUAUGAAGCACAAGGCCUAAUGGAUUACUUCAAUAUGUUGAAUGGACCAACAUAUCAAACACUGGUAAGGCACUUCUUGGUUAGAGCAAGUGUCUACAACAAAGAAACUGCUAAGCUUGAAGAAACAGAAAAGAUACUCAUUAACCCUACGCUGGAGGGAAAAUCUCGUGAAGAAAUGGGUCUAGAACCAUUUGUCUGCACUGAGAUAAGAUCAAGCAUCAUGGGAAUUCCAGUGCAUAUCUCAGAAGACAUAAUAGCCUUUGUCAUCAGAAGGGCUGCUGAAGGUAUAGGCAAUAGUAAGACCAGUCAAUGGAAUGAGGUGGUCAAUCAAUCCAUGUUCAACAGCUAAGACAAGGGUAUGUAUGCUGACUUGAGCAUGGAGAAGAAGAUGCUCCUGAAAAUCCAAAAUGAAAACCUGCUACCAAAAGGUGGUGGCAGUGAUCAACCUUCAUAGGAGCAUAUGAUCCUUCUACACUUCUUCAUAACUGGAGAAAAAGCUAAUGUGCCCAGAUACAUCUUCAGGCACAUGAUCCAGCAACUCAAGGAAAGUCAAGAUAAGAAGAGAUGUUGGGUUCCUUAUGGAAGGCUAAUCUCAUAAAUUUUUCAUCAAGGAUGGAUUCUGAGAUCUCUCAGCAAAGUAAACUUCUUUACUGAUGAGCAGCUAGGCACAGAGACUGGGAAGAUCAUUAAUUGAAGUACUCUAAAGCACAUAAAGCUGAUUAAUUGAAGGAAUCUUUUGCCAUAUCAAAUCUGAUGGAAGACUUUCCCCCCAUCUGCAAACAAGAUCCACUUGAUGUCCAGAUGAACUGGAUCAAGGAUCAUUUUGCAUCAACAGGCACAAAGAUUAAUUUGGAAGAUGUGCAUGAAACAAUGUAUGGUGGAGCUCUUCCAGUUGCUAAGAGCAGGAAAACUAAGAGAAAAUCUAUCAACAAGGAUGAUUACUUAGAAGAUGCUUCUAAAAAAUCUUCCAAGAAGGCAAAGAAAGAAAAGUCCUCUUCUGGUGUACCAACGAUUCAGGAAGAAGCUAAGGAGCUGAAUGUUGAUGCAAUUCUGAAAAAGAAAACCAGAAGUGACAAAGCUUCUAUUUCUUCUCAAACUGUUUCUGAUCAACCUUCUAUUCCUAAGAAGAAGAGAAAGCAGGCUAUCAUGAAGUUAAAGAUGGCAGCGGAUGUUGCUGAAGAAGAAGAAAUUGAAGUUGCUACUAAUCUUGUCACCAGAGAGGUAAGGCAGAAGAAAGCUGAAGAUGCUACUACACUUCAGAAAGCCUUGGAGUUAGCAAAGAAGAUUGAAAUCACUGCAUCCAACAUAGUAAGGGAAGAUGCUGGUGCAGAUGCUCAAGAGGUGAUUAAGGCUGCUGGAGAGGUGCAAUAGCUUGUGGUAACUGAAGCUGGAAGCUUGUUGGAGCUUGCUGAAGCAGUUCAGAAGGAACAUGUUGAUGUGUAACGCAAAUAAGGCAUAUAUUCAAGAAAUAGACGCUACGUCAUCAUACAAAAUCCAAAACAACAUGCAUGUAUAAAAAUCUCAACAGCCGCAGCGGAUAUAUAAACCAUAUACUUCAAACAUACAUGCCAUGAUAUCAAAAAUACAUUAACAUAAAUGUUCUCCAAGUCCCGACAAAUGGGUAAACCUUCAACAUGAAUAAAUCCAAACAGAUAAUCUAGACCAACAUAGACAGACGCCUGGAUUAGAGCCUAUCCUAGACCCGACUAAACCGAUACCGGAGAUAGCUCCCGAUAUCCGACCAAGCAUCAAUCAACUCACCGGAGUAACUAAUCCUGCACAGCGUCUACCCAUCCAUACAGACAUGUAGGCGGUCAAAACCACUGGGGUAAGUAUUACAUCAAUCAUAAUCAACAUAAACAGUUAGACAUGAACAAAUCAAUUCAUGUAACAUUUCAUUAAUCAAGAAUAAUUAAUUUCCAUAUACACAUUCAUUCAAAAAUUCCAAAUCUUACAACAUGUAUUUAUCAAACACACUUAUCAUCAACAAUCAUCAUUAAUAUGCCACAAAUAAGACUCAUGUCAACAUGAAAUGCGCCUAGUUCGACACAUAUAUGCAUGUGGUACCAAAUCACCUCAAGGUCGUCACCUUCGAUGCAACAAAAACAUCGUAUGUAAAAUUUCACACCCGUCUUACAUAAUCACCGAAGUAAAAGAGUUCAACUCUUUUACAGCUACAAGACUCAACAUGAUUAUGAUGCAUGGACAUACAAGUAAGGACUCAACAAUGCAGAUCACCUCAAAAUUUUCACAACAAUAUAAAGGACAACUUCCAAAUAUAUUGAUCAUCUCCUCAACAAUUGCAUUAUCAAGUAAUUACGUCCACACAACAUUCGAGUCAUAUUUCAAAUAAGAGUCAUCAUCACAUUAUCACAUAAUCAUCAAUAAUCAUCAACAUCAACUAUUUCAUAUAGUCUCACCAUUCCAUUUAUUUCUCAUAUUCCAAGUAAGAGAACAUACAACAUCUUAUGAUAAAUAUCAUAUCAACAUACAACAAGUCAUUCACACAUCUUCAUUUAUUCAUAUAAGGCUAGUCACGAAAGAUCAUAAGAUUAAUUAGUUGACUUAAAUGAACCAAUUCCGGUAAAGUCCGUGUCAAGUUGCAAACGGCCCUCAUUGACAAUUUCCAAAACAAGGUAACAAUAUAAAGUUUGAAAAUCCUCAAGAGAGUCUUAAUCAAUCAUGUGAUCAUGAACGUAAGCCACUUACAAACUAUUAGACAUUAGUUCAAAGAAUAACUUAAGUUCACAUAAGAAAACCCAAGUUCACAUUUCCCAUAUUCCCACCCGAAAUAUCAAGUUUACCAUGAUUAAGAUGCUUGACCAACUCUACAAUUUCCACCUAAGUAUAUAUAAGCUGUAGGCUUAACUUGUAAUCUCAUUCAACUCAUAAAGGUUCAAUUCGACAAAAUUCGAAAUUCCCAAAAAUAUCCAAGUUUCAACCCAAAAUGGAAAAUCCCAAAUUUGAAUGAGCUAAACAUGUUCCAGUAUGUUUAGGGGUUCAAACAGUAGUUAAACAAGUUGAAAGAAUCAUUUUACAAAGCUCGGAUUGGCCCCCUAAAGCCCGGAACAAAAAUCAAAAGUGGCUGAAUCUGGGCAGGUUCGCUUAAGCGACCAUCUGGUUCGCUUAAGCGAACAAGUUUCAGUAGCUACUUGUAAUGUACGCUUACUGAUCGCUUACUAUUCGCUUACCUGUUCGCUAAAGCGAACAAGUUCCAGUAGCUAUCAGUAGUGUACGCUUAUAGGUUCGCUUAAGCAACCUAUUUCCAGAACUUGCUAUGAUGGUUUGCUUAAGCGUUCGCUUAAGCGAACAGUCAUAGUUCUGCAGAAAAAUAUUACGGGUUUCAACUCCUUUUCACCCAAAACCCCCAAUUUUGAUCUCCCAAUGCCCAAAUGUGUUUUCAGAGUUUGUUUGCAGGUCAAUAUAACUAACAAGGCUCAACAAACAUGAAAACAAAUAACAUUUGAACAUAAUUCACCAAUUCAACCCAUUUUACAAAACCAACCACAACAGCUCACUUCUCAUCAUCAAAUCAUGAAUUAUGAACACCCAAGCCAUGAAUCAACAACAACAAUAUCACUUAGCAACAACAACAUCAAUUGAACAUGAAUCUCAUCACAAUUCAACAACAACAUAGAACAAUUCAACAUUUAGAGCAUAGUUCAACAUAUAACACUUUCAUAUACUUGGAACAUGCAAUUUCACUAACAACAAUCCAAUUAUCACCAAUUUCAUGCAUUCAAACAUAUCAUCAUAAUUAGAGCACGAAUUCUAACAACUAAUGAACAAUUAAUCCCUUACUCAAUUAAGCACUUAAUCAUACAAUAAUUGAAAAAUUACACUAAAUGAUUAUGAUUGAAUUCUAACCCCCUUACCUUAAUUAGCACAAUUCCUAGCCCAACCUUCACUUUAGCUCCUAGGAUCUCUACCACUUCUUGAAUCUUCAAGCUUCUUCUUCUCUAACCCUUUUUCCUCUUCUCUUACAUUUUCUCUUUCUACCUCUCUCAAAAUAUCUUAUGUAAUGAAAAAUGAGUGAUAUUUUCUCUCUUAAGACAAGUCUUAUAUAGGCUAUUCUCCUAAUGGGCUUAAUGUAACGCCCUAAUGAAUUAUUUAAUUAUUUUAUUGGGUUUAGAGUCUAUUUAUAUGAUUUAUGUGAUUUAAAUGGUUAUGUGGUGUGUCGUUGUUUUAUUAAGUGGCUUUAUUUUAUUAUUUUAUGCAAUAAACUUUGAAAAUAAAAUAAAAUUAAUUUGAGGGGGCUGUUUUUGAAUUUAGAAGAGUUUAGUGGAAUAAGUGGAAAUAAGAUAAAGUAGGUUGAGGAAAUAAAUAGGAAAAACUAGGGUCAGAUAGUUUUUCACGUGAAACCUUUUUUUGAAGAAAAAAGGAGAAAACCAAGAGAAGAGGAGAACCAGAGAAGAGAACCUUUCGAUCGAUAAAUCUAAGGUAAGGGUGGGACUAACUUUCUCUAAUUCUAAGUGAUAUAACUCUAAAAAUUGAAUUUAACAAGUUGUAGGUUGUAGUUUUGGGAAUUUGAGAAUUAGGGUUAGAAGUUGAAAUUGAUUAAUUUGAGAGUAGGAAUAUGUUGAAUUGAUGUAGAUAGUGUCCAAACCUUAGAUUAUUCAUAGCACAAUGAUUAGAAUCAAUUUUAAGGUUAGAGUUAUGGAAUUAGGUGAGUUUUGUGAAAUCUGCAUUCUGCCCGUAGAGCCAACAUUCAUCGCUCGCUAUAGCGAGUAGCUGUUCUCGCCUCGCGAGUGAUCAUAUUCAUCGCUCGCCAUAGCGAGUAAUUUCUCUCGCCUCACGAGUAAACCCAGUUGUCACUCGCCAUUGCGAGUAAAUCUCUCGCCAUAGCGAGCUACCUAGUGAGAAAAUUAUGAUUUUGUGGAUUAAUGUUCGGGGUCAAGUUUUAUACGGUUUUAGUGCCUUAACAUGUUUAGAAAUGAUUAGGCAAGUCUUUGGAUCAAAUUUGGGCAUAGGGAAGUUAAAAAUAGGAUUUUUGAGUGAAAAAUGUCAAAACUCCCAAGAGCCAUCAAUUUUAGCUCGCCACGGCGAGUACCUUGUUCACCAUAGCGAGUAGCCUUUUGUUGAACUCGCCAUAGCGAGUAGAGUGGCUCGCCUCGCGAGUUACUCAGUGGAAUUCAACUUUGUUUAGGGUUCUUGCGAUCUUUUUCGCACGUAACGUUCUAAGUUGGUCUUUGGGUAGGAAUGGAAGUUGUUUAUAAUUAUGUUGUUGUUCAGUGAGUCUGAAUUAUUAUGAAUAUUCUUGUUGGAUAAUUUGAGAUAAAUAUAUUAUGUGAAUAUUGUAUGAUAUAGAAAUAUUGUUGUUCAUAUCAUUCAAGUUAUUGUUGUUGAUGUUGUUAUGUUACAAGUUGCUAUUGUUGCUGUCAAUGCUGUUGUUGAUUGAUAAAUAUCGCUAAGGUGCAAGUUUGUUGUAUUAAGAUGUUGAAGUCGUCUAAGUUGUCAAAGCGGUCUAAGUUGUUUAAGUUGUUGGUUGUUGAGUCCAUGCAUACUCAUUAAAGUUGAGGGUUUGAUGGACUUUAUGCCAUGUGAGCCUAUUUGCUCUAUAAGUUGAGGACUUAUGCCCUGUGAGCCUAUUUGCUCUAUAAGUUGGGGGUUUGAUGCCCUGUGAGUAUAUUUAUACUCUAUAUGUUGGGGGCUUGAUGCCCAGGUUGGUACCACACGCAUGAUUAAGUUGUUGUAGUUGCAUCGUCGAGAUGACGUCGUUGUUGUUGCAUUGUUGAGUUGAUGUCGUUGUUGUCGCAUUGUCGUUGUUGUUAAGUUGUCAAUUAUCAAUGAGUUGUUAAUGAAGAACUAUACGAAGAAUUAAUAUUAUUAAUUGAUAUUGUCUAUGUUGUUAAAUCCUAUUGAUGAAUUAUAUGCUUAUUAUUAUUGAAUGUGAAAUCUCACCCCUUCUGUUUGAAUGUUGCCUCUACGUGGGUAACGUGAAGAUAAUCAGGAAUAGCUGUUGAAGUGAGUUAACUCUCUCAUGCGUCGUCUUAGGGUCGCUCUGAUACGUAACGGGAUGGGGAUCUUACUUGUUUUCCAUGUGUUACGUAAUUGCUAUGAUUUUAUGUUGAUGAAUCACUUAGAUUGAAUUCUAAUAAGUUGUUUAUGUUGAGGCCGUUGUGCCAUUACGUUGUUCAAUUAAUGUUUUCCGCUGCAAUGAGAUUUGAAUUGAUGACAUGAGAUGUUUUGAAUAAAUAGUAAUUUUACUCUAUUUAUCUGAUGACAUCCUGUUUUAGUUGUUUACUCUGAUGUUUAUGCAAAAAAUUUCAAGUUGGGAAAAUGGGGUGUUACAAUUGGUAUUAGAGCAGGUUGGUUGGUCCGGCCAAGUAGUUGAGUCGUGUAGUGUUGAGUAGCAGUUGAAAUACUGUCAUUAUGUUGUCCUGAUUGUUGUUUGUUGUGUAGAGAACUAAGAUGGCUGGAAGAAAUGACGCUGCUAUUGCUGCUGCAUUGGAAGUUGUGGCUCAAGCUGUGGGUGGUGUAACACCCCUAUUUUUAUCUCACUUUAUAGGGCGCGUCCCAUAUAAUUAUAAGCGCAAAAAUGUAAAUAAAUAUAAUUCGGCCGCGCCAAAGUAGGGCGUGCAAAAUAAUAAUAUUAUUUCCAUCCUGGUCUUAAUUAUUAUUAUUUUCCCUUUUCUCAACAACCUUUUUUUUUUUUUUUUUUAUCGUAUGUUUCUUUUAAAGGAACUUCUACACAACAAAAUUUUUGAAACAUAAUUAAUACACAUUUAAGUCAUAAUAUAUAUAUAUAUAUAUAUAUAUAUAUAUAUAUAUAUAUAUAUAUAUAUAUCAUUCGGUCUAAGCCUGCGGCUCAUAAUGCUAAAGUCAUCUUAGUGAAUAUUUUACAAUGAUCCAUAAUUAUUCAUGAGACUUAUUAACAAAAUAUAAAUGCCAUCUAGCUAGAGUCAUAAUGCAUCAAUCAUACAACGUCAUCCUACUAUGUCACCAACCCUAGCUACCAUCCAAAAUAUAGAGUUUUAAGAGACAUUAAGUACACAACAAACUAGUUAGCACUCUUAAACUCUUUCUUGCACACAGAAUGUCAUAUCAAAAUAUUUCCAUUAGGGUCUCCCCCAAUGAACUCUCCCUCCUCAAGGUACUCCUCUGGGUCCUCCUCCGGGUCCUCCUCUGGAUCCUCCUCCUCAUGUGCAUGGCCACCUCUUACUCCCUUAUCAGCAACAUCAGCAGGAUCACCAAUAGGGGGAACAAAGGGCUCCUGUCGGUCUGGCACUACGGGUGGGACAACACCCAUGUCAUGGAGAGCUAGGUACAACCUCUGAAAUGGUAGAAUCAUCUCUGUGGUUUCAUGAGUAACAAUAGUCGUAGUAGGCUGGCCACCGAAUCAUGUGGUAGUGCGAACAAGUCCGGUAAAAUUCAAUGUUUGGGUGGCCAGAUUUAUUUCCCAAACAUCGCGUCUCGGAUCCUCAAGGAACUCGAUCCUGCGGGUUUCCGAGUGAGCUAAAUGUUUUCCUGGCAUCAUCUACAAAAUGUCCGAACAUACCCAAAAAAAAAACAACAAGAUACAAAAAAAACAAAGAAGGGUGAAUUACUCGUACACAAGUUUUCCACGUGAUAUAUUACAUAAGGAAAAAGAAAAUAAUAUAUAUACAGCAAGGUAAAGUGAUAUUUCCAUAGAUAUAAUAUUUUCUUUUCAUUCACUGUCCAACAACAAUUACAAAGCAUGAAAAAAAAACUAUCUUUUAAGAGGUCAAAUUAGAAUUAAUAGUUUGACAUUCAACAUAACACAUGCAUGAACUCUUUUGACCCUUUUUCUCGACUCUAGUUCAUUUUCUUCUCAUAAUUCACUACUCCAUGGAGGUUCCACUCUAAUAAGCAUAAGGUCGUUUCGGAAACUAUAUCAUGAUUAUUAGUAUUUUGAGCAAGAUAUGCUUAAACUCUAAUCAUUCUAGUCCGAUCGCACUCCCUUAUCAUAGAUAGUAUAGUUUUGUCAGGCUCACCGUGUCUGGUAGUACGAGUACCUUCAGCCGGGAAGCAAUCCCCAACUAUUGAUAGGCGUUCGAAACACAAGUGCCCUCGAUAGGUCCUCAAAGUAACCAAACCAUAACUAUCCUCAUUCCCAUCUACACCUGAGUGUAUAGGGACCUAUUAUAGCUCCUUAAUUGUCCCUCCUUCCUAGACAAGACAAAACACUCAUACUCAAUUCAACAAUGUCAAACAAUUAACCAUUUAUGUUUAUAAAAUUGAUUAGCCACUUCAGAAUUUUUAUUCAAUUAGUACAGUGAUGUAAAUCAAACCAAUAUAUAAUAACUCAACAAUUAAUGAUCAACAUAUGUUCUUUUUCAUUUAUUUAUAUACUCAUUCACUUAGACAAGAGUAAUACCAAAUAAACAUAAUAUAACUAUCUAAUCAAUUCAUCAUUUACAAAACUUUUUCUUCUAUUAAUUAUAUUAACUCAAACACAUAUAAGUUGAUGUCAUUUGACAUGUACUUUUUCUUCAGAACUAAACUACUGUCACUUUCUCAUCUGAUAAAAGAACAUUCUAAUACUAUGUUGUUGUUUUCUUCCUAAAAGAAGGGUUGUGGGGACUGAGUCUGAGGUUAUUUUAGUAGUAAAUCUUGUGUCUUUCAAAAGAAUAAAGAAUGACCAUAGAUUGAAUAGAGAAAGUUUAAAAAAGGAAAGGAAGAGAGAGAGAAAACUAAGCUGAUUUUCUAGAGAGAAGAGAGUUUUGUGGUGUGAGUUUUAUGUUCAGCUAAACAUCUUAUUUAUUGGAAGGUGAGAAGUGUAGGUGUACACUUAUUGAAAUUUAUCUCAGGGUUUCUCUUUCUUAAAUAUCUAUUUUUUUUUUUUAAAUAAAUUUUGAGAAAACGUGGGGAGAAAGUAUAUAACUUUCUUUUUUUUCUUUUUCUUUUAACAACAAAAAUUACUCUCUCCACCCCUUCUUUCACUUUUCAACCCUUCUAUUAUUAUUAUUCUAUUAUUUAUUUAUUUUAAUAUACUUUUGAAUAAAGCAUAAAAUUUUAGGAUGUUACAUUACUACCCCACUAAAUAAAAUUUCGUCCUCGAAAUUCGUAUACCUUCAAAUAAUUCUGGAUAUUGAAGUCUCAUCUUCUCUUCUAAUUCCCAUGUGGUGUCUCAUGUCGUUUGAUCCCACACAACUUUGACCAAAGAAAUUUGUUUACCUCUAAGUUGUUUGAUUCUCUUGUCAUCGAUCUUUACAGGUAAUGACUCAUAUGACAAAUUUUCUUUUAACGGUACUAUAUCAGGCUCAAUCAUAUGAGAUGGAUCGGAAAUAUAUUUCCUCAGUUGUGAAACGUGAAACACAUCAUGGAUGUUUGAAAGAAAAGGGGGCAAAGCAAUUUGAUAUGCAUCUGGGCCAAUGCGACGAAGAAUUUGAUAUGGUACAAUAAAUUUAGGAGUCAGUUUUCUAGACUUAAUAGCUCUACCUACCUCAGUCGUCGAAGCGACUCUCAAAAAUAUGUGAUCACUUUCCUCAAAUUCAAUAGGUCUUCUUCGUCUGUCUGAGUAAUUCUUCUGUCUGCUUUGCGCGGUACGCAUCUUUUCACGGAUCUAUUUGACUUUGUCGGUCGUUUAUUGUACAAUCUCUGGUCCUAAAAUGCUGCUUUCCCCAUCUUGAUACCAGCACAUCAGUGUUUGACAUUUCCUUCCAUACAGAGCUUCAUAGGGUGCCAUUCCUAUGCUUGAAUGAAACUGUUGUUGUAGGUAAACUAAAUUAAUGGUAAUAAAUUAUCCCAACUUCCCCGGUUAUCCAAGACACAAGCUCUCAGUAAAUCUUCUAGGGAUUGAAUGGUCCUCUCUGUUUGUCCAUCAGUUUGUGGAUGAUAUGCAGAACUUAAUCUUAAUCUGGUUCCUAAAGAUUUUUGUAAACUCCUCCAGAAAUGAGAUGUGAAUUUCGGAUCCCUAUCUGAAACGAUACUUGAGGGUAUGUCGUGCAGUCUAAUGAUUUCCUUAAUAUAAAUCUGAGUCAACUUUUCUACAUCGUAGUUAGUGUUAACAGGCAAGAAAUGAGUUGAAUUUGUCAAUCGAUCGACAAUGACCCAUAUUGAAUCAAAAUUAUUUCUGGUUUUUGGCAAUCCUACGACGAAAUCCAUUGAAAUGCUUUCCCACUUCCAUUCAGGUGAGUCUAAAGAUUGGAGCAUUCCAGCAGGUCUUUGAUGUUCUACCUUUGCUUUUUGACAUAUCAGGCACGAGGCAACAUACUCAGCAACUUGCUUCUUCAUUCCUGGCCACCAAAAUUUUUGUUUUAAAUCUUGAUACAUUUUGGUUGUUCCUGGAUGAAUACUUAGUUUGCUUUUAUGUGCUUCGUCCAAAAUCAUUUUUCUUGUCUCCGGAUUAUUUAGGAUGCAAACCCUCCCAUUACAGCGUAAAAUUCCGUCUGCUCCCAAACCAAAUUCCUAAUUUGUUCCUUGUUCAAUCCAUCUUAUCUUCUCCUGAAGUUGGUCAUCUGUUGCUUGUUGCUCUUUUAUUGUAUCCAUCAUUCCAUUUGAUAUCUUUACCAUUCCCAAAUGAAUUAUUAGAUCUCGAUAUUUUUCUAUCAGCUCUAAGUCUUUGACCAUCAUUGCAGAUAUAUGAAUUGUCUUACGACUUAGCGCAUCAGCUACAACAUUUGCCUUUCCAGGAUGGUAUAGCAGGGCAAAGUCGUAAUCUUUAAGAAAUUCAAUCCAUCGUCUUUGCCUCAUGUUGAGUUCCUUUUGAUCAAACAAGUACUUUAAACUCUUGUGGUCGCUAAAAACUUCAAACUUUGCUCCAUACAAAUGAUGCCUCCAGAUUUUCAACGCAAACACGACUGCAGCUAACUCCAGAUCAUGCGUAGGGUAAUUCUUUUCGUGGGUCUUAAGCUGCCUCGAUGCAUAUGUCAUUGCCUUCCAAUGUUGCAUGAGAACGCAACCUAGUCCUUGAUGUGAAGCAUCACAGUAGACUUCAUAAGGCUCAUCUGGUUGCGGUAGGACCAAUACUGGUGACGUUGUUAAUUUUUCCUUCAUUGUUUGGAAACUUUCUUCACACUUUUUAGUCCAGAUGAAUGCUUGUUCCUUUCUCGUAAGUUGUGUUAAUGGUGCUACUAUCUUUGCAAAUCCUUAAAUGAAUCUUCGAUAGUAUCCAGCCAAUCCAGCAAAACUUCUGAUCUCCAUCAUCGACUUUGGUUGUUCCCAUGAGAGCACAGUCUCUACCUUCGCUGGGUCUACGACACUACCAUUUUUUGUGAUGACGUGACCUCCUCACCAAUUUUAUGAUUAUGCAAUGGACUCCACUUGUGUAUAUCUACAUACAACUCAACAAUACAUACAACGACAAUAUGAACGACAACAACUGCUGCUCAACAAUGCAUAUAUAUGAAUAUGACUUACACUUCAACAUUGUCAACUUGUGACACAGCAACUUUUGUUACAACAUCAUUCAACAACCUGUAUAAUUUAUUUAAAUAUAAUCAUACGUAGAACAACAAUCAAUAAUCAUAUAACCCCCAAUACUUAACUCCCCUUUAUUUCAUUUAACUCCCACUUAAUUCUAUUAAUUAAAAUAUAACCCCAAAACUUCAAAUAAUUCUAUUUCUCACAUUAUUCUAAAUAAUACCAAAAAUAAAUCAUAUAAUAAAAUAUAACACACCACAAAACCAACAAUAAUUAUUUAAAAUCAUAUAAAAGACUCUAAAUAAAUCAGAAAAAAAUAAAUAACGACUAGGGCGUUACAACUCUCCCCAACUUAGAGAAUUUCGUCCUCGAAAUAUUACCUCAAGCAAACAACUCUGGAUAAGACUCCCGCAUCUUACUCUCCAGCUCCCACGUCAAACUUUCACCAGUUACUCCUCCCCAAACAACCUUCACUAGAGGUAUAUCCUUGCCUCUCAACUUCUUCACCUCACGAUCUUCGAUUCUCAACGGUAACGUCUCAACCGUAAGGUUGUCUCUAACCUGCACAUCAUCUCUCGGAAUCACAUGCGAAGGAUCCACUACAUACUUUCAAAGUUGCGACACAUGAAACACAUCAUGCAAAUUCGAAAGAUGUAUGCAUCUUUCUUCUUCACCAACAACACUGGUGCUCCCCAAGAUGAAACACUUGGUCUAAUGAAUUGUUUCGAUGAUAAGUCCUCAAUCUGAGAUUUUAGUUCUGCUAACUCAUUGGGUGACAUCCUAUAUGGCGCGAUUGAAAUUGGACCUGAUCCAGGUACUAGAUCGAUCGAAAAUUCGAUGUCUCUAACUGGGGGUAAACCUGGAACAUCUUCUGGAAAUACAACCUGAAAAUCUUUUGCGACUGGUAUUACGUUUAACACUAAGUCACUCUCGACUUCUAAGGAAGAUAAUAACAUGUAGUCUUGGGCUCCUUCUUUUAAGGAAGCUUUUACUUGGUUGGCAGAUAUUAAUCCAGAAACCUCGGGUUUAGGAAAUAUUACACUCUUAUGUGCACAAUCUAAAAGGAUCUGGUUGGAAGAUAACCAGUUCAUGCCUAAAAUCACAUCUAAUUGUGUUAAAGGCAAACAUAUUAAGUCAACAAGGAAUUUUCUAUCCGGGACAACAAUAGGAUAGUUUUGACAUACAAAAUAUGCAGAAAUAGGUUCAGAAGUUGGAGUAGAAACAAUUAAGUGAAAAGGUAAUGACGUAAUUGGUAAAUUUAACUGUUUCACACGAUCCAUGGAAAUAAAUGAGUGGGUUGCGCCUGAAUCAAAUAGUACAGUUAGAAGAUUACUUGACAUAUCGCAACUUCCCUGUAUGAGAUCUUUAGAUUGAGAAGCUUCAGCACCAUUCAUAGUGUAAUCUCUUCCUCUGAAAGUUGGUUUGACAGCUUUCACAUUGUUCAUCUUUGGCACAACUCUUGGGUUUGAGCAGUCUCUAGCCAUAUGUCCUAGUUCUCGACAUUGAUAGCAUACCAAUCCCUUAAUUGGACAAGUGUUUGCCAAAUGGUCUGUUUUUCCACAUUUGAAACAUCUUCGGGUAUUGUCUUGAGGUUGGUUCUUUUUUUGUCCUCCCCCAAAUGCAUAUGCGACUGGACGAUAAGGUUGUUGAUCACGGUUGUUAUUUGAAGUUCGUGAAUAUGGUUUCUUUUGUGGUGACUUUCCUUUCUGGUUCGAUCCUUGUUAAGGAUGUUUCCACCUAGAUGGUCCUCCUACAUUGUUCCGAUUAAGUCGACUUUCUUUCAUCCUUUCUACCUUUCUACAUUUUUCAACCAAGGGGUUGAAACUGACGAAUUUCAGAUUCGUUGAUACUAAAUCUAAGUCCACCUUCAAAUCUUUCGCACAACCAAUCUUCGUCAAUUUGAUCCUGGAAGAAACGAAAGUGUUUGGACAAUGAUUCAAACUUUGCCGCAUAUUCAUCAAUUGUCAUUCCACCUUGUUUCAAGAGAAGGAACUCUUGUUCUUUGUUAGUUCUAGCACUUCUAGGAAAAUACUUGUCAAGAAAUUUUGUGCGAAAUACUUCCCAAGUAACAUCUUGAUUGUUAGCUUCAAUUAUCUUGCGAGUUCCUUUCCACCAGUAUUCGGCAUCUCCUAACAGUAAAUAAGAUACAUAUGUAACUUUUACUUCGUUUGGACACCUUAACACAACAAAUAUAUUUUCUAUCUCUUGGAGCCAUAAGUCAGCCUUCUCUGGUUCUGUUUCUCCAAGAAAUUGUGGAGGAUCAUGGCGUCCGAAGUCUACCAGUCCUUUAUUUUCAGCAUUUCGUUCUUCCCUCUGUUGUUUUCGAAUAUCCCUUUCAGUUUUAGCAUCAGUUUGUUCUGCAAUACUUGCUGCCAUUUCUGCCAUAGCUUGAAUAGCCCUUUCCAUACUUCCUUCGGUAUUGGUUGCAUCUCCAUUUUCCGCUUCUAUACGAUUAUUUCUACGAGUCAUUGGGUUCCUAAAAUUUAUAAUUGGUUAGAACCCAAUUAUUAAAUUAUAGAAUAAUCUACACAAAGUUAGUACACACAAACGCAAUAAUUCAGACAUUCUCUAAAUAUCCCAAAUGAAUCGACCUGCUCUGAUACCACUAAUGUAACACCCCUAUUUUUAUCUCACUUUAUAGGGCGCGUCACAUAUAAUGAUAAGCGCAAAAAUGUAAAUAAAUAUAAUUCGACCGCGUCAAAGUAGGGCAUGUCAAAAUAAUAAUAUUAUUUAUUUCCUGGUCUUAAUUAUUAUUAUUUUUCCCUUUUCUUAAGAUCCUUUUUUUUUUAUCGUAUGUUUCUUUUAAAGGAACUUUUACACAACAAAAUUUUUGAAACAUAAUUAAUACACAUUUAAUCCAUAAUAUAUAUAUAUAUAUAUAUAUAUAUAUAUAUAUAUAUAUAUAUCAUUCGGUCUAAGCCUGCGGCUCAUAAUGCUAAAGUCUUCUUAGUGAAUAUUUUACAAUGAUCCAUAAUUCUUCAUGAGACUUAAUAUUAACAAAAUAUAAAUGCCAUCUAGCUAGAGUCAUAAUGUAUCAGUCAUACUACGCCAUCCUACUAUGUCACCAAGACUAGCUACCAUCCAAAAUAUAGAGUUUUAAGAGACAUUAAGUACACAACAAACUAGUUAGCACUCUUAAACUCUUUCUUGCACACAAAAUGUCAUAUCUAAAGAUUUCCAUUAGGGUCUCCCCCAAUGAACUCUCCCUCCUCAAGGUACUCCUCUGGGUCCUCCUCCGGGUCCUCCUCUGGAUCCUCCUCUGGAUCCUCCUCCUCAUGUGCAUGGCCACCUCCUACUCCCAGAUCAGCAACAUCAGCAGGAUCAGCAACAGGGGGAACAAAGGGCUCUUGUGGGUCUGGCCCUACAAGUGGGACAACACCCAUGUCAUGGGGAGCUAGGUACAACCUCUGAAAUGGUAGAAUCAUCUCUGUGGUUUCACGAGUAACAAUAGUCGUAGUAGGCUGGCCACCGAAUCCUGUGGUAGUGCGAACAAGUCUGGUAAAAAUCAUUGUUUGGGUGGCCAAAUUUAUUUCCCAAUCAUCGCGUCUCGGAUCCUCAAGGAACUCGAUCCUGCGGGUUCCCGAGUGAGCUAAAUGUCUUCCUGUCAUCAUCUACAAAACGUCCGAACAUACCCAAAAAAAACAAGAAGAUACAAAAACAACAAAGAAGGGUGAAUUACUCGUACACAAGUUUUCCACGUGAUUUAUUACAUAAGGAAAAAGACAAUAAUAUAUAUAUUCAGUAAGGUAAAGUGAUAUUUCCAUAUAUAUAAUAUUUUCUUUUCAUUCAUUGUCCAACAACAAUUACAAAGCAUGAAAUAAAAACUAUCUUUUAAGAGGUCAAAUUAGAAUUAAUAGUUUGACAUUCAAAAUGACACAUGCAUGAACUCUUUUGACCCUUUUUCUCGACUCUAAUUCAUUUUCUUCUCAAAAUUCACUACUCCAUGGAGGUUCCACUCUAAUAAGCAUAAGGCCGUUUCGGAAACUAUAUCAUGAUUAUUAGUAUUUUGAGCAAGAUAUGCUUAAACUCUAAUCAUUCUAGUUCGAUCGCACUACCUUAUCAUAGAUAGUAUAGUUUUGUCAGGCUCACCGUGUCUGGUAGUACGAGUACCUUCAGCCGGGAAGCAAUCCCCAACUAUUGAUAGGCGUUCGAAACACAAGUGCCCUCGAUAGGUCCUCAAAGUAACCAAACCAUAACUAUCCUCAUUCCCAUCUACACCUGAGUGUAUAGGGACCUAUUAUAGCUCCUUAAUUGUCCCUCCUUCCUAGACAAGACAAAACACUCAUACUCAAUUCAACAAUGUCAAACAAUUAACCAUUUAUGUUUAUAAAAUUGAUUAGCCACUUCAGAAUUUUAUUCAAUUAGUACAGUGAUGUAAAUCAAACCAAUAUAUAAUAACUCAACAAUUAAUGAUCAACAUAUGUUCUUUUUCAUUUAUUUAUAUACUCAUUCACUUAGACAAGAGUAAUACCAAAUAAACAUAAUAUAACUAUCUAAUCAAUUCAUCAUUUACAAAACUUUUUCUUCUACUAAUUAUAUUAACUCAAACACAUAUAAGUUGAUGUCAUUUGAUAUGUACUUGAUCGCUAGAAAUUACCACGUCAUCGAGAAAUUAACUCUCACAAGUAGAGUUAUUGACUCACAUAUAAUCACUUAAGCACAUAACUUAUGCAAAAUCUUUAAAAUUUAUUAGUAGUAAUUCCCCUUACCUUCGGAUUCUUCGAAAGUGGUUGCAAUAUCGUUUCCGUUGAAAGCAGCUCCAAUAUCACCUAGAAUACUCACCCAAAAUAAACUACCUAUUAGACUAUAGUCAUUAUCAAGGUCAUAAUAAUAGAAUUAACUAGUUAAAGUUUUCUAAUUCCUUUGUUUCUCUGUAUCACGUUUUUUUUUUCUUUUCUAGUUAUAUUAGGUAUAUUUUAAUAAUAGUUUGAUUUUAUUUUAUUUCAAAUGAAACUUAUGUUACUACCUUCUUAUAUAGUCAGAAUGUUUAAAAGCCAUUUAAUAGUCAUUACUUCAUUCUUAAAACAAUGUUCAUUUCUUUAUUUUUCUUUAAACUAACAAUAUGAACUAAACAAGAUCUCAACUUUCUUUUGAACUUUGUUUUAACCUUCAUAGUUUGUAUCAGUAUAAAAAAUACAAUAAUUAAUUAGUGUAAUUUUUUCUACUAAAAGUCUAAAACAGAUAUGAGAUCUCUUUAUUUUAUUUUAUUGAAUGAUGUUUCUGUUGAAAAAGAAUGGUUGAAAAGAACUAAACUAUUUUCAUAGUUUGAUUAGGUUGAAAAGAACUAAACUACUUUCAUGGUUUUGUUAGGUUGAAAAGAACUAAACUACUGUCACUUUCUCAUCUGAUAAAAGAACAUUCUAAUACUAUGUUGUUAUUUUCUUCCUAAAAGAAGGGUUGUGGGGACUGAAUCUGAGGUUAUUUUAGUAGUAAAUCUUGUCUCUUUCAAAAGAAUAAAUUUUGUUAGGUUGAAAAGAACUAAACUACUGUCACUUUCUCAUCUGAUAAAAGAACAUUCUAAUACUAUGUUGUUGUUUUCUUCCUAAAAGAAGGCUUGUGGGGACUGAAUCUGAGGUUAUUUUAGUAGUAAAUCUUGUCUCUUUCAAAAGAAUAAAUAAUGACUAUAGAUUAAAUAGAGAAAGUUUAGAAAAGGAAAGGAAGAGAGAGUGGAAACUAACCUGAUUUUCUAAAGAGAAGAGAGUUUUGUGGUGUAAGUUUUAUGUUCAGCUAAGCAUCUUAUUUGUAGGAAGGUGAGAAGUGUAGGUGUACACUUAUUGAAAUUUAUCUCACGGUUUCUCUUUCUUAAAUAUCUAUUCUUUUUCUAUUUUUUAUUAAAUAAAUUUUGAGAAAACGUGGGGAGAAAGAAUAUAACUUUUUUUUUUCUUUUAACAACAAAAAUUACUCUCUCCACCCCUUCUUUUACUUUUCAACCCUUCUAUUAUUAUUAUUCAAUUAUUUAUUUAUUUUAAUAUACUUUUGAAUAUUAGCUUAAAAUUUUAGGAUGUUACAGCUGGUGCUGGUGCUAAUGGUGAAGUUAGCAUGUUGGAAACUUUUCUGAGGAAUCAUCCACCUACUUUUAAAGGGAGUAUGAUCUAGAUGGAGUUCAGUCGUGGCUCAAAGAAGUUGAAAGAAUUUUCCGGGUCAUGCAAUGCAGUGAACUUCAAAAGGUGCGCUUUAGUACACACAUUUUAGCAGAGGAAGCUGAUGAUUGGUGGGUUAGUAUUCAACCAAUCCUAAAGCACGGAGGUGGAGUUGUUGUGUUUAGGAGAGAGUUCUUGAACAGAUACUUUCCGGAAGAUGUUCGCGGGAAGAAAGAGAUUGAGUUUCUUGAGCUGAAGCAGGGUGACAUGUCGGUGACCGAGCAUGCUGCAAAGUUUGUGGACCUGGCUAAGUUUUAUUCGCACUACACUACUGAGACUGCUGAGUUCUCCAAGUGCAUCAAAUUUGAGAAUGGCUUGCGUGCUGAGAUCAAGCAGGCCAUUGGAUAUCAGAAGAUCCGUAAAUUUUAUGAACUGGUGAGCAGUUGCAGAAUCUAUGAGGAAGAUACGAAAGCUCAUUACAAGGUUGUGAAUGAGAGGAAGGGUAGGAGUCAGCAAAGUCGUCCAAAGCCUUACAGUGCUCCUGCUGAUAAGGGUAAACAAAGGGUGAAUGAUGUGAGGAGGCCUAGAAAGAAAGAUACUACUGCUGAGGUUGUUUGCUACACUUGUGGUGAGAAAGGCCACACGAGUAAUGCUUGUACUGGGGAUGUGAAACGAUGUUUCCAUUGUGGUAAGAAAUGGCAUACUAUUACAGAAUGUAAGCAUGAUGAUGUGGUGUGUUUCAACUGCAAUGAAGAAGGUCAUAUUGGUUCGCAGUGCAAGAAGCCUAAGAAGGCUCAGACUAGUGGGAAAGUGUUUGCUUUGACUGGUACACAGACAGUGAAUGAGGACCGGUUGAUUAGAGGUACAUGUUACUUUGAUAGUACUCCUUUAAUUGCUAUUAUUAAUACUGGUGCUACGCAUUGUUUUAUUGCUGUUGAUUGUGCUUCUAAGUUGGGUCUUGUUAUGUCGAAUAUGAAUGGGGAAAUGGUUGUCGAAACUCCAGCUAAGGGUUCGGUGACUACUUCUCUAGUGUAUCUUGUAACACCCCGUUUUCCCAAUAUAAAUAUUUCUUAAAACAUUUAUCAGAGUAAGCAUCAUAAACAACGGGAUAUCACAUAUAACAUAAUCCAAAAACAGUUAAAUAAUAAUUUAACCAAAUAUCUUAAACAUUGCAGCGGAAAUUAUAUCAUAAUCCAUAAAACGUUUUGGCANNNNNNNNNNNNNNNNNNNNNNNNNNNNNNNNNNNNNNNNNNNNNNNNNNNNNNNNNNNNNNNNNNNNNNNNNNNNNNNNNNNNNNNNNNNNNNNNNNNNCCCAUUUUGGAGCCUAUUUUGAUGUAUAUAUGCAUGUAGUUUUUCCAAAUUCCAAAAUUAAUAGUUAGUUUUAAUAUUUAACUAUUAAUUGUUUGUUUUUAAGAAAAAAAUAAUAUAAAUUUUUAAGUUUGGGGGGCAUUUUGCACAUAAGUGCAAAACUUCAGGGGGAGUAUUUGCAAAACGUAAUGUUCACUAACAGAAAAAUUUGACGGAGGGAAUAAAUUGACUAACGUUGUGAAAUUUCAGGGUGUAAUUGAAGUUUUAUUAAUUUCAGAGGGGUAAUUGAUGAAACUUACAAUUUCAGGGGGGAAAUUGACUAUUUACUCAUCACAUAUUCAUCCAAGGAGUCUGGGUAUCCUCCAUUUACCCCAUUUAGGGUCAUGGAUGAAUGACAUCUGGUAAAUAAAGAAUUCAAUGGUUCAGAUUAAAAAUAAUGAAAAUAAAAUUAAAAUUAAAAAUGUUUGUUAACUAAAAAAAAAAAAACAAUUUCUCUUUUCUCUCUUCUCUGAUCUCUCAUCAUCAUCUUCCAUAGCCACUCCACCGCCGUUGUCACUUCUCUCUCCAUCAAUGGCAGUGUCUCCCAUCUCCCCUCUCUUCCUCUCAUCUCCCUCUCGCCACCGCCGUAACCAAUUCAACCAUUGUUGAUAUCCACUUUCACACUUGAUUCAUUCCUUUCCUCUACCGUCGGUCCUUGCCAGUUUUGAAACACUCCGACGAUAAAUUGGGGCAAAUCAGGAUGAUAAAUUUCAGAUCUUAAAAGUUAUCAUGUUAACACACCGGCGAUGGAAAAAACAAAAUAACAAAAAAGUAUUAAACCAUAAAAAAAAAAAAUAAGGGAAGAAAAACAGUGGAGGGAGGUUAUGGAUGGUGAUGAAAAAACGUGUGUGAAAGGGAAGAGGAAAGGUGAAAUAUGGAGGAUAAAUUACAUUAUUAUUUUUUGGAUUAACAGUGCUUUACCUCUUGUAAUAUAGGUUAUUUUUUGUUUUCUUCCUGAAUUUUUUUAUUUUUAUUUACCCCUUAUUAAAUAUUUUUUUUUUUGGAAUACCCCCUAAUAGGUCAUAAAAAAACGAAAAAAUUUUGAAAAAAAAAAAUAAAGUAGUUUUUUUUGCCACGUGUCUUGCAUCCAAGAUCCUAAAUGGGGUAAAUGGAGCAUAUACCUGAACUCUCAUCCAAGUCAUUCAGUAUGUAUCAUCUUUUUAUAUAUCCAAUAUUUUCUCCAUUUUUAAUUGAUGUGGAACUUAAACACUCACACUUAUAACCAAACAAUUAUGUUAACAACGACACAUGAGUCUACACAUUGUUAAAAUUGGGGGCCUAACUCAACCUUACAAAACCGGUUUGUAAGGUGAGGAUUGCCUCGUCUUUAUAUUUUAUUCUCAAGAGUCUUCUCAUCUAUCCGAUGUGUGACUUGGAUUUCCCCAAUACACAUACCAUAUUGAGACACAAAAUAUACUUCAUUUGAUUAUUUCUUUAGCCAUAAUAUUGUGUUCAAAGUCGGUAUGUGAACUCUUGUGACCAUGUAGAAAUUACCCGAAGCAAUGAUGUUUAUUAGAAGAAAGCAACAAAACUGAAGGAGAAUUGAGCUUUGCAACUUAGUUUGAGAUAGUUUGGGGCACAAGUUACUUCAUUUUCAUUUGAGUUUCUUGUGCAUUUAGAUUUCAUUUCAGUUGCAUUUAGUUUGUUAGAAAUUAGUUAUGAUCAGGUGUUUCAAGCUUCUAUAUAUACCUCAAGUUGUAACAGAUUUCAUUCAAUGAAUAAUAAUCACUUUUUUCCAUUUUUUUUUUUACUUUUUCUUGCUUAUGGAAUUCUCUGAGUGUUCAAUUUCCUCAUAGUUAUCUAGUUCUAAAUCCAAAAUUGAACAAUUAUUCUAUAUGAAACGAUGGCCAUUUUAACACAAAAAUGGAACAAGUUCAAAGUUCUACAUAAUUCCAUUCACAAAUUCGACACUUGAACCAUUUCAACGAUACAUUUCAAUUAAUAUUAUAUACACUACUUCCAAAAUAUUAUUUUUCUUUAAUGAAAAACAAACCAAUAAUUGAUUAUGAUACUUUGGUAAAAUAACAUCUCUCUUUAUUUUAAUUAAUGCAUUUCUUAAUAUGUGUGUAAAAACUUUAAACGACAUUCAUUUUAAAACAGAUGGAGUAGAAGAUUUGCUGCUUGAUUAAAAUUAAUUAACAUUAUAUAUUCUCUUUACACAAUUUUUUACAACAAUUAAAGUUAGAAAUAAUCCUUUAUAAUAUGAACUUAUAAGUUCAAUGACGUUGAAAGAUAUAUCAACCUACAAUGAACAAUGUCGGUAAAGAUUGAGAAUCUUAACUAUUUUUUUGAAUUGUCACUACAAGCUAAUUUUAUAUUUAAAACAAUAUAUUUAAUCAUUAAGAUUUAGAUUAAAUUUUGUUUUAAUUUUUCUUUAAACAAAUCAACAUGUUGAGUUUUAUUUUAAAAAUAAGGAUUCAAUUUGUUUGUUAAGUUCACAUAUUAUUAGAGUCAAUUCAUUUAUGGUCUGUGGUAAUCUAUAAUUUUUAAAAUGUUUGAAAUAUAUAAGUUUUGAUCACCACAUGUUAAAGAAUAUUGAGACAUGAAUUUUAAAUUUUCUUUGAGGAUAUUGUAUUUCUGAGAUAGAUAUCGUCAAAGAAUAAUUAUUAAUAUUUUGGUUAAGAGUACUGUUUUUGUUCCCAACAUGCUUGGUGGGCUGGUCUCUUGUUAUAUAUACAUUGCUGCUUCAAAAAACAAAACAAAAAAAACUGUUUUUGUUUCCAAUAAUAUUGAAAUAUAUACUUUUCAUUUUAGAUUCUUUCACUUUUGCUUUUUCAUUAACCUUGUCAGCAGUAUCUGCAUAUGUGACACGCUGACAAUACAGUGUAAUGUUUCCCUACUUUCAUUAGUGUAGAUGAAUUAAAAAAGCCACUGUUCAAUCUAAGUUAAGCUAAGCUUAUCGUACUGAAUGAACGCAUGAGUCAUGAUAUCAUGUUUUGAUUCAUGGGAUUAGGUUUUAGCUUCAAAACUGUUGUUUCUAACUUAAUAUAGGUCCAAAUCAAUACAACUUUAGAGACUACACAAUGUAGAUUAUAUCUCCUUAAUCUUACUUUAACUACUGCAAUGCGUAAACCAUGUUUGCUAAUUAACUUACAUUUGGUAGCAUGUUUCAUUAAAUGUGAAAGUAUACUUUGUUCCUUAAACAUGCAUUUCAAGGCUAAACUUUUUUUAUGCUUUCAUAUAUAGUCGAUUGUUCAUUUGCCUUUACAAUGUUUUAAUUUGAUUAGCUUAAUCAAAAUUUGAACAAGUUCAAUAGUUUAAAGAAUAGCAUAUACAAUAAUUCACCACAAGACAUAUAAAAGAGCUCGAAAUAUGAGUAGGAGGAAAAACAAGACACCAAAAAUAGUUUGGUUUCAGCAGUCCCGCAUCGAAGUUGCCGAAACAAGCAAGAGGAAUAUUACCAACAAAAGAUCUUUUAGGGGGUGUUUGUUUGAGGGUUACAAAAUUUAUUCUUCGGUAUCAACUUUCUCAGGAAUGUGUUAUCAAUUUUAGCGGGCGUUUGUUUGGACACAAAGUAACUCUUUUCGAACUGAGUAAUUCGGAUUAUAAUAAAUUUUGAUCCAUUGAGUUUUGACUUGAUCCAACAACAUUAAAAAAUUUAUUUCAAUUAAAUUUUUUGGUGUUCGGUUGCAGUAAAAUAUCAAUGUACCUAAUAUUGCGUCCCUAAAUAUUUUAUAUGGUUAUUUGGCCUAUGUGUCAUGAUUAAAAACGCUGGAGCCAAUUUGAUCAUAGUUCAGUUAGGUGAAUAUUUAAAAAUCAAAAUACCUUCAUCUUUAAUUUUUUAAAUUAAAUAUUUAAAAAAUAAAUUAAGCUACGUGUGUACAUUACUGGUUUGAAAUUAAUAUAAAAAAUAGAUUAAAUUAUGUGUGAACUUGAUUAAUUUCAUAAGCUAUUUGUGUACAAAGCAAUAAUUCCUUUAAUAAUUUAAUUACUUUAUCAAAGAUUGCUACCAUUUAUACUAUAAAAUUAGAUUUUUUUCAUUUCAUACUUUAUGUUAAGGUUCUUCGAAGUUUAGUAGCCUUACAUAACAAACAUUGACACGUAACUACAUUUGGCUAACUUUUUUUUUUGGUGGUGUCUGAGGUUUGAAUCCCAACCUUGCAUAUAUCAUGCAUUGUCCCUACGAACUGAACUAAGUUUACGAGGACCUACACUUAACUAACUAUAAUACAAAGUAAAGAUUCCUAUCACAAUUCUAUUAUUUUAUCAAAGAUUANGUUGUUUGUGAAUCUCACCCCUUCUGCUUGAAAAUGUUGCCCUUCGUAUGGGUAACUUGCAGGUGAUCCAGAAUAGUAGAAGUGGUGGCUCAAGUGUCAUAGGGCUCUGAUACGUAACGGGAUGGGAAAUUGUUGUUUUAUUUUCAUUCCUUAUGCAUCAAUUUUUGGAACAUGUUGUUGGAACCUUUAUUGUUGUUGAACAAAUUGUUGAUCGAUAAUUAUGUUGAGGCCUUUGAGCUAGAAUUUAUUGAUGUUAAGUGAUCGAAAAAUAUUCCGCUGCAAAGUAUUGAUUUAUCUAUUAAAGUUGAUUUUAAUAUAUAGCAUUUUAUUCUAUUUAAGAAAUUUUGAAAAGCAGUGUGACAUUCCCGUUUGUUGUUGAACUCUGGUUUAUUUUAUUUAAUAUUUAGCUGUUGGGUUAACGGGGUGUUACAGUUUUUAGAGACUUCGGGGUGAAUUCGGUUGAAAAGUAUGCUGGAUUGUGCUGAAAUAUGCUGGAAAUUGGUUGAAAUCAAGCUCAAAAUCAACAAUUACUAAACCAAAACACUAGAUAUUCAAAAUUAACCGAAUCAGAAUUGAAAUUUACGAAUUGAAUAAACGAAUGAAAGAGGAACGAGAUCCGUUACCUUCAGCAACUUCGAGCCACAACACCAUUGUAACAAAAACUGUUAUAAAUCAUGGAAUCCCAUGGAUAAAGAUCAUAAUGAUCAGUAAGAAAGAGAACAUAAGAGUAUUCAUGUGGAAGAUACCCAUAGAGACUUAUAGUGGAAUGAACUUUAUUUGAUAAAUGAUGAAUGGAAGUACAAUAGUCGAAAGUUAUUUAUAAGGGUGAGUUAGUGUAACUAACUCCUAACUACCUAACCAACCAACUAACUAUAGUUCUCAUAUAAACUAACUAUGGUUUAUUCACUAUACUCUAAUAGUCCCCCUCAAACUCAAGAUUGAGAAAUUCACCAAUUUGAGUUCCAAACAUAAGAAUGAAGGAGAAACGAUGUACUGCUAACUGAACGGGAUUUAACAAAACAACUUGUACCAAUCGUGCUUUCAAAAAAUGCUUUUCCAUAAUUUGAUGCAAAAUAACUGCUUCAAAACAUGCUUCUGUGAGGUGAAGCAAGAAAAUGCCAUAAUCUGCAAAACGUGCUUCUUCCAAAAACAGCUUUUCUAAACACUUAAUCAGAAGAACUUCUGCAUAACGCUGCAUAAAGCGCUUCUGAAUCGACUUACAAAAGAAACAACAUAACCGUAAUUUCGUAAAAUAUGAUUCUGCAAAGGAUUAUGCGAACAUGGACCAAAACAGCUUUUCCAAACACGCUAUUGAAAGCGCUCUUCUGCAACGCUCUUCUGUAAAAGAAACGCGAUUUCAUCGAAAACAGCUUUUUCUGGCAAUAACUUAUGGACCUGUUUAGAAUCAGAGAAUGGAACAACAAAACAAUACAACAUGCUGAUUUUUCCAGAUCGUACUACGAUUUUUUCCAAAUGGGAACUGCCAGAUUUGGUCCGAAAAUCGUGCUGCGAUUUUAACAAAUUCCCAAACAUCAAUUUUGAUUCACUUUCAAAACAUUAAUAAUAUACAUUCAUUUCCUAUAGAUAUAUGAAGAAUAAGUGGCAUAACAAUAUAGUCGAUCACGAUGCUUUCGUGAUUUUAAUAUUCACAAUAUUUAGCAUUUUCGUCAAUAAUUACACGAAAUGCACUUCUUCUCCUUCGAACAUACAAAAACCUUUCAUCCACAUUGUACUACUGCUGUUUAGUAUUUCUCUUCUGUCAUAUCAAUUUUCUUGUUUUUAAUUAAUAUCCAAGAAAAAUAAUCUUGAGUAUGUUAAGUGGUUCAAAAACAUUGUUUUGGAAUUCCUUUACUUGUUCUCUUAUGGCCAUGCCCAUGUCUUCAUUUUUAUUCAAAACUGUGUACUAUAUAAUAAGAGGAAAUUGAGGUACUGUAGAUCCUCCAUUAAUCCAAAAUUGAACAAGUUCAAAGUUCUAAAGAAUAGCAUAUACAGAUUCGAAACUUGAUUUGAUAAAUGAUUCAUUAAACUUGGUUUAUAAAUUAAAUGAGUUGAACUUGAGCUGAAAAUUAAGUUAUAUAACCAAGACGUAAAAAACAGCUAGACACAUGAGCGGAGGAAGAAUAAGACAUAUAAAAUAGUUUGGUUUGAAUAGUCCCACAUCGAAAGUUCUUAACCAACCUAGAGGAAGAUUUGGUUAUAAAAGCAACUACUCGGUGAUGUCCACUUAAUUCAUAAUAAUUAAGUUCUAUAGAGUAAUUUACGGUGCAUUGAUUUUUGAGCUUUUUUAAAUAAUUUUUUUCGAAAAACAUCCUUUAAAAUCAAUGUACCCAAUAAUUAGUAGUAUUUUUUUUUUUUCAACUCCGUAACUUGCGUCAGAGUUUGUGGUGUUAUUUUUUAUGAAAUUGUGUUUUCCUAUGAUACUCUUAGCCAUUUAUUAUUUCACUCUAUUAUUUCUCUCCACAAUAUAUAGGUAAGAGAAUUAUUGACAAACCAAUAUUUAAUGUUGCAUUUAAACUUAAAUGUGACAAGUCAAGUGGAACAAAUUAAAGUUAGAGUAAAUUACACUCUCAUCC